CGCCGCCUCCUCCUCCUCCUGUGCCACCUUGGCGGCAGCCGCCCUCAACUCCUCCGCCUCCCGCUCCUCCCGUGCCUCCCGCGCGUUUCGCUCCGUCACCGCCUGAAGCUCGCCACGGGGGUCCACGCGGCGGGUGCUCCCGGAUCCUCCCAGCAAUCCAACGACGGAGGCGGCAGCAACCCGCUCGAGCAAAAGCAGAGCCCUGAUUUUCGAGAAAGGACAAGGAUUCAGAAAUCACCAAGAAAAGAAGAAAGAAUGUACAAAGGAGUAUAAACUUACGCUGACACCGUCUGCGGCUGCUUCACCACCUUGUAGAAGCGGGCCGCCUUCGCGGCCGCCUCAUCCCGCCUGGUCGCCGCCGCCCCGCCCUUGGGCUUCUUCGGCCGACUGCCGAACAAGCCCGACGUGGCCCGGCGCUUUUGCCCACCGCCCUGGGCAGGCGGCGCGGCGGAGGAACCCGCGCCGUGGCUGGGCGCCGGCUGGCGGCGUGGGACGAUUUCCGCCUCGUCGUCAUCCGGCCAGUCGUCGAAGCUGGCUCCGAGCCCGGAGCCGCCUGCCUUGCCGCCGGCUUCGCCGCCACCCACCUCGGUGUUUUCAUCCAUGGCGGCCGCCCCCAAGUCGUGGUCUUCCAGGUCAUGCUCCGCCCGGCCGGGGAGGAAUCGGUGCCCCGUCUCCGACCCGGUUGCUGGUCGAAGGAGAGGGCUCUGCCAAGGCAUGCCGACUGGUCAGUGUCAGCGAAGAGGAACUCGGCGACAAUACUAAGAGAAGAAAGGGAAAAGGAGAACAUACCGUGGGCGGCGGAUGUGCACGGGAAUAUGGCUCCUUGCCAAACCGCCACUAUGAGGAGACCUUGCAGUUCGCAAGAUAAUUGACCAUAUGGGCCACCUCUUCAUGCGGCAUGUCCUUGGUGCACAUCCGACUCGGAUCGAGUUGGCCGCUCAUCUGACAGAUCAGGUGAGGGCGGCUCUGAAGCGGAAGCACCCGGCGCACGAGGAAGGCGGCCAGCAAGUCGGAUCCAACCAGGCCCUCCGACUGGAUCAUCACCCGCAGUCGGGCGACGGCCGUGGCUCCAGCCUGCGACAGCGUCACGGACCGAUAGGACCACUGGGGCCGCCUCCCAGCUAGCGGGCCAGCUACGUAAGCCGGCAAGUUGACGUAGUCACCUUGUGGGGCGACGUUCUUCAUGUAGAAAUAUGACUUCUGCCAGAGCUUCACCGACUGGAUUAACGCGAUGACGGGGAAGGGGUUGUCGGCCGCCGGCCUCCGCAUCGCGAUGAAGGCGUCGCUCUGGGCCGGCACGCCCUGCAUGCGGGUGCCCAGCUUCAAUUGGAAGAACUCCCCCCAGAGCUCGAGGGUGGGGAGAACGCCAAGAAAGCCUUCGCACAAGGUGACGAAGGCGCACAGCAGCACCACCGUGUUCGGAGGGAGGUGGUGCGGCUGGAGUUGAUAGAAUUCGAGGAAGGAGCGGAAGAAAGCGCUCACCGGCAAGCCGAGGCCGCGCAGGAAGUGCGAGCAGAAGACUAACCGCUCGCCUUCCUCCGGCGCCGGCGUGAUCUCCUUCGCAGGUGCGAGAUGGACCCGCACCUGGUCCGCGCCGGGCAACCGCCGCGUCUUGCGGAGGAACUCGAUGUGGUCCAUAUGGACGUUGGAGCCGUCCCAGUCCCCGCCGUACUGCAUGAUGGCGAGAAGCUAACAAGGAAGAGUGCGGCGGCGGAGAAAGCAUGGCCCUGCGGCGGCAAAGCUGCAGGGUGGAGUGAAGAUUGAUGGGACGGCGAGGCGGCGAGGCGCUGCUGUGAGAGAAAGCAGGAGGAAGAAGAUGGCGGAGAGGAGAGGAGCGUGCGAGCGUCUGCCGCUUCCCCUCCUCCCCCUACUUAUGGCCUCGUGUGGCGAAGCCGAGGAGGCGAGGCGUGGGGAGGAACGUGGGAUUAACUGCGCCCACUCCCCCAUGCCCCGCGAUUACUGCGCCCUAACGACGUGCGGAAACUGCCACCGGAAGACAUGCAGACAACUUUGGGCCACAAAGAAUCCGCGCCUGGGCCCAGGCGUUGGAGUGGUGGGCCCUCGGCCUGCGGCGACGCCUUGUCGCGCGCGUGGGUUAGCAGGCUCUUUUCAGCCAAGGGACGCCACGUGGUUCGCAGGCGGUGAGUGACUGGCUCGAGGCCCGGUGCACGCACCAACAGACUCCCGCCUUCCGACUUUAAAUUUUUUUCCAAGACGGCGCGCCCAACCGAAACCGGCUCCCAGCUGAUGGCUCGUCAAGAUAAGAAGCUGACCAAGCUUCUCGGCCUCCUCUCAGCCUCGAAGCCCAACCAGCUUCCGGGACUACUGUCGGAGUAAAUGGCCACGGGUAGCCUAACCUACUCCCCCUGGCUCUUUGAAAAAUUAUCGGGCCAUUCAAGCCUUCAAGCAUACAAAGCAUAUGGUCGCCUUCCCCCGGCCGGCUAUCCCCAGGGCCGACUUCCAGAAGCCGGCCAUGAGGAAAGCCGACUCUCAGAAGCCGGCCAUGAGGAAAGCCGACUCCCAGAAGCCGGCCAUGAGGAAAGCCGACUCCCAGAAGCCGGCCAUGAAGAAAGCCGACUCCCCGAAGCCGGCCAUGAAGAAAGCCCGCUCCCAGAAGCCGGCCAAGACUGCACUCACUAAAGACUGUACGCACAUAACGGCGAUAGGAUGGGGCGUGGCCGCAGUACAGCCCACUGCCCCUGAUUCCCGGAACAGGCAUGGCUACAGGGCGCCUUACGGGCCAGCCAUCCCCCGUCCGGCGUGGCACUGUAGCCGUGUUGACCUCGAUGUCACCCACGACAGGCGCUAGUACGGCCCGUAGGCGGCGGGCCCCUUUUGCCAGAGAGACAUCCGAAGGCGGCCUGGCCUCCUCUAGUCGGCCAGGGGUGUGGCCGGCUCCUAACAGCCGGCUACCUCCCUCCCUCAAAACAUGUGCCUCAUUAAGGAGACAAGACGAGGUAAGGCUACAGUGAGAGCCCGCAAGGCAGCGGCACUGUAGCCACGCUUACCUCAACAAAGCUCUCGUCAUCAGAGGCGAGGCAACAGUAACCAGCCGCCGACAAAGCGCCCAAGCGGUGGGGCCGGCCUGUCGGCCUAGAGGCCGGCAGCCGGCGGGACCCACCAGUCGGCGGGCCCCAAUGACCGGCGGAGAAGCCGGCGUGCAUAGACGCUGAUGGCUGGGAGCCGCGCCCAGCCGGAUUACCAUUGUACCCCUGGGGGUAGGCAUAUAUAAACCCCCCGGGACACCCAUGCAAAGGGUUGAUCGAAGAGAAUUCCACACACCACAUAGAGGGAAAAGGAGAGGUAGCCUUGCCCUUCUUCUUCCUCUAGCCAAACAGCUCAAGGAGCGCUUGUAGCUACUUGUAUUGGUCUAGUGAUCAUGCGGAGACCCCGCAGAGCAGGACUAGGGGUGUUAUCUCCACGGAGAGCCCCGAACCUGGGUAAGAUUCGCCGGCGUGCAUGUCUUCGCCUCAUCCCGUUUCCAGGCACCGGCGACGUUUUACUGGCUCCCACUAUGAUAAGCCAUCCGUUGGCAUAUGUCGCACCUACCACCCGACACCACCCCUUUGUUCGAGGGCUCAUGUUCUAUUACGGGCUAGAUUUCCACGAUCUAACUCCGGAUUCCUUCCUUCAUAUCUCGGCGUUCAUUAUCACAUGCGAGGCCUUCCUCCGUGUUCCCCCACACUUCAGCUUGUGGCUCAAGACCUUUAAUGUGAAGCCUAAGGUAGUCGACAGGAAACAAGCGAAGUGCGGUGGUGCUGUACUGAGCAAACUCAUCAACGCUCCUUGGCCUAAAGGAUCCUUCUCAGAAUCUUCCGACUUAUGGCAGCGGGAGUGGUUUUACAUCACUGAACCCCGUGGUACCAAGUGGGUGGCUACACCUGCGUUCCAAUCUGGCCCUGCAAUUCAGCUUGCAUCAUGGGUUAAUAAGGGAUUGGACUGGGGAUCAAUCGAUGAAGUGCAGACUCUACAGAGCCGCAUACGGAGUCUCCUUGAGAAGAACACCGAACUCAUUGACGUGAUUCAAGUAAUGUUAGUCUGUCGGGUCCUCCCGUGCCAGCGACGGCCACUAUGUAUGUGGGAGUUCAAUCCGGAAGGACCACGAACCCUUCAGCACUUCUUUGGUGCGACACACAGAGGAAUGUGGAAACUAUUUUUCGGGACACGAAAAUAGUGGCCGGAUACAACAGAGGACAUAGGCCUCGAUUGCAACCAUCCGGAUACCUCGGUAAGCACUUGACUCCUGAACACAGUUUGAGUUAAACAUCUCAUAAUAGGAUACUAAGAAAACCACCUUUUUCCAGGGCUGGAUAAAGAAGGCAGAGCAAAUCCGGUGUUCGGCCCCUCUCCCCGAAGACUCAGCUAGUCCUGUGCUAACAAGGAUGCUGAUCCCGGCGCCAUGCCAAGUGUUCGUGAGGGAGGACAAUAAGGAGAGCGAGGGAGUCAAAGGUAGCCUCGGUGGUACACCAAACACUGUGUCUGGGGAGAUUAAGGCUCGUUUUUCCGAGGACAAAAGAGAAGGAGAAGAUGUCAUCCAUUCUCCUCAUAGUAAGAAAAGGGCCGCCUCCGAAGUUCGGGAGGCAAUGGCUCCUAAGCGAGGCAAGACGCCCCUGUCAGGCGUUUCGGGUUCGGAGGGUGAUGUUGUCGCACUGUUCCUCUAGAAGGACAAGCCUUCAGCCGAAUCGUAAGUGAAUCAAGGUGCUUUAAACAUAUCCCAUUCCUCUUCCUGUUACCAGGGUUACAUUUAAUACACACAUUUGCAGUCCGGCGCGCAGUCUUCCUCAACAGUUCUCCUCCUCGGGGGAUCUGCUUCUGGAGAUGAUGGAGAGCGAAAUGCCUCCACAGGUUUCCUCGCCCAAUAGGUCGGACAACUUCAAGGUGUCGUCCCGGAGGAUCCUUCCCGAUCAACAAGUGGUGCGGGGGACAUCAAAGACAACGCCCGAAGGUGAGACUUCGGUUGCCCAGGGCCCAGAGUGUGUGGCCCCGAUGGGGGUCAAACAUAAAGGUCUCGGGCUAUCCGGUUUAUAGCCGGGGGCGACUCCAGAGUCGAGUGAAUACGCCUCUUCAAAGAGAGUCUGCGCUCCCACGGCCGCCCCCAGAAAUCCGGAGGUGCUGGAUACCAUGAUGGGCAUGCUGCAACAUGCAUCCGUCUCGGAGGAGCAUCGUACCUUAAUGAGUACGAUAGCUGAAAGGAUUCUGUCCGCGAAAAGCGGGUUGAACGAAGCCUUCAUGAGCCUGCUAAGAGGCUUUGAGGUACGUACUAUAAUAUUUUCAAUUUGUGCUCUAUAUGCAAAAUGCACCUGUGUAUAGGUAGUAGCCCCUGAGACUCUGGUUGGCGUCCAAAGGAAGGCAAUCAGAGGAUCGAAAGAUAUGCCCAGGAGAUAGUCUAAUUAAUUGAAACAUAGGUUGUUACCUUCAUGACAACUGCCCACGCUACGGAGGUUGCAGGUCUGAAGGAAAAACUUGAUGUGGUGGAUGAUGACAUCACGCUUAUUAACAGGCGGCUCGAUGAGGCACAAGGUAUGUGUUCGGGGCAGUCAGUAUAUGUAUGUAUGAUAACAUGAGCACGAAGCUAGGGUUGUAUACUGAGACAUGCAUAACUGCAGAUGGUGCUGCCGCGGUGGAAAUCCUUCGGGAUGAACUUGCCCGAGCCAAGGAGCAAGCCCGGAUGAGGAAUUUGGCUGCCAAUAAGGCAGCUGAUGAGUUAAAAGCUGAACAGGCUGCUCGGCGCCAGUGUGAGGACAGAAUUUCUAUGAUGGCGCGCGAGCUAAAAGAAACCACUGCCCGGUGCAAAUUCCUCGAGAGGGAUAACAAAGCCAAAGCGGCAGACCUUGACAAGGCCUUACAAGAGGCGAAAGAAGCCCGAUCCGAGUCUAGAGCGGCUCGGGAGGAGAUCCGGCAAGCUGGGGAGAUAGCGGCCGGUAAGCCUUUCUUAUUACAGACUAAAUUCGGCGAUCUGAAGUAUGCCCCGCUUAAUCAGAUGUGGAGCUCCCCAGACGCGUUCUUGGACUUGCCGAAGAGUGCCUCCGAUGCGGCACAAUUUUACCAAGCGCAGGAAGGGUGCGCAACGGAGAAGCUUUUCUGGUCACAAUUCGGCGCGCCAAAGCGUCCGCUGUUACUGAGCGAGCAGAUGGCCCAGUGGGCCGAGCUCCACAAGAUAUCCGGCUCUACCAUGAAGGACGUCAUACUUCGGCUGUGGCCGGCUGAGCCAAUUCCGAAUAGUUAUUUCGGUUUGGUGCAGCGACUUGUUGAUGCGGUGCCGCGUAUCGACGCUGUUAAGCGGUCGACGUGCAUUGAAGGUGCACGGAUGGCCUUUGCCCGCGUCAAGAUGUACUGGGCGAAGAUUAAGGCCACCGAUAUUGCAGCGAAGAGUCCACCCAAAGGCAAGGACCAUCACAUGCCGGAGCAUUAUUUCGAGGACGUCUUAGAGGGUGCCUGCUUAAUAGAGGGUCAGUGCUUGAAAGAUAUGAUAUUCGAGUGAAAUAUAUUGGGAUUGUAAAAACAAUAUUAUAAUACUUUAAUUUUGGCUCCUCCUGUGCGGCCGUUAUUUGUAUGUAAUUUGAAAGUUUUCCAGUCCUUGGCUUCAGCCCCCUCGCAUAAAAUGCGGGGGUGUUCAGAAAAGCGCUUGAUCACCCUUAAUCCACCGUCUUUGUCCAUAAAGGAGGUGUCAAUGCGGCAAACUAGGCAAUCGGACUAUAGGGCGUUAACACUUUCACUUAGCCAUAGCAGUUUUAUGGUGGGUCUACGAUAUAGCCCCUAGUAUGUACGCAGUUUAUCCGAAUACGGUGCGUUACAUGGGUGACCUUAAGAAUGGCCCUUCAUUUAGUACGAAAACAAUCGCAAAAGAUUCUAGUGAGUCAUCGAGUGGUUGAUCAGCUCUCGCCAUAUCAUGAUAGUCAGUUUUCGGCUUUCUCUACUGAGGUGCUCAUCCGGAUGAACCGGGACACAAUCGCAGUAGUUCUCCCUUUACUACCCUAACCGAUAUAGCGGAACGUAAGGUAGUAAGCAUAGGAGCCGGGCAACCCAACUAUUGACCAAAGACAUGAUUCGGAGCUGGUGCAUAUAAGGCCAAACUCGUGACGCCGAAGUGUGCUAUAAAGUUGUUCAGACUUUGUCGGCAACUCAUUUGUUCCCAUAUCGAGCCCCUGGCGAUUGUGCCGAGGUGCGAGUGUGAAACAACCAGAAAAAUUUAGCUCUCUAAAAGAAGCAACUACUGGAUACAGAUUAUGUUCACUGGAACUUGAUUGAUAUGUCAAUUGCCAUUGUACAAAUAACAACGCCACGACCCAGGCUAUUUGACAUGCCAGUGGUCGAAGGCUGAGGGAGAAGGUACUUUACAGGCUCGAAAUAGAGAGUGCGGUCUACAAAAAAUUAUUUGGACCUCCUGUCGCACGUCUGCGUUGCCUUGCCUCGGUGGAAGGAUUCCUUAACAGGAAUGACCUUUGGGUGAGUGUAUGAAGCUGAACUCCGAAAGAGUCCGUAAGAUGACCAAUGUUUGAGCCACCUGUAAUAAGAGAUAAAAAGUGGUUAGAAGAGAAAAGGAGGAAAUGGGAGUGCUUUUAGGCUAUUCCGUAUUGUGCCUCCGUCGAUGACUAGGGUAUUUUGAAUGCAUAGUUAUGCAUGCAUGGUGUAAACCUCGCGAGUGUGUAGGGCGAAUGGCGGAGGCCGAACUGCUAAUCCAGCUCGGAGAUUAAUCGGUUCCAUUUAAUGGGGACCGGCGGCUUAAUAGCCGAUGAUUUAUGCGGCUCUAUGAGGCCGCUUUGUACUGCGGCCAUAAUAGCCGUAGUUUGGUCAUCUAUAUGGAUGAAGUAUUCCAUAUUUACAUUUACUAUUAUGACGCCGCGUGGACCGGGCAUUUUGAGUUUUGCGCGGCUGUAGAGUGGGACCGCGUUAAAACGAGCAAGAGCGGUAUGCCCCAGAAGUGCAUGGUAGCUACUGUGGAGCGGGGCGAUAUCAAAGGUCAAGCCCUCUCUUCGGCAGUUGUUCGGCGAACCAAAAACUACUUCCAGUGUGAUAGAACCCGUGCAGUGAGUUUCUAUGCCGGUAUUGCUCCCUUGAGAAUAUUUGUGGUGGGCUUGAUUCUUGAAGGAUCAAUGCCCAUUUUGCAGACAGUGUCUUGGUAGAGUAGAUUAAGGCUGCUACCGCCAUUCAUAAGGAAUUUCGUGAGAUGGAACCCAUCGAUAAUUGGAUCGACGAUCAGAGCUGCCAGACCGUCGGGUCGGAUAUGACUAAUUUUUGGGGGGGAUCCGCUCUAUCGUGGAUAUGUCCCGUGGUGCGUGCGUGCACUCCCUCGUAGGGGUGUGAGUCACAUAUACCAUGUUUACGGUUUUUACUUCAGGGGGAAAUUGCUUCUGAACCCCGGUGUUUGGCUGGCGAGUCUCUUCGUCAUCACUGUCACUGGGCGGCCGCUUCCCCUUGUGUUCGGCAUUAAGUUUGCCGGCUUGUUUGAAGACCCAACAGCUUCUGUUUGUAUGGGUAGCUGGUUUAUCGGGGGUGCCAUGAAUCUGGCAGGGCCGGUCCAGUAUCCUGUCUAGAUUGGAUGGUCCGUAUCUAUUUGCCUUGAAUGGCUUUUUCCGUUGACCGGAUUUGGAGCCGCUAAACCCAGCGUUAACCACCGUGUCUCGCGUUAUUUCGUUAUUAUUGCGACGCUUGUGUUUAUCGCGUCGUGGCUUGCCGUUGCCGUCUCGGGCUUCCGAAGUACCCGGAUCGCUGGCGCUACGAGUGAGCCAGCUGUCCUCUCCCACGCAAAAGUGGGUCAUUAAAGCGGUAAGGGCUGCCAUGGAUUUUGGUUUUUCUUGACCGAGGUGGCGGGCGAGCCAUUCGUCCCGGACGCUGUGUUUGAAGGCCGCGAGGGCUUCGGCGUCUGGACAAUCGACGAUUUGGUUCUUUUUAAUUAAGAACCUAGUCCAGAGCUUCCUGGCUGACUCUCUACCCUGGAAGUUGUCGCGGAAGGCGUCUUCCAGAUCUUCCCAGCUGCCAAUGGAGUUUUCAGGCAGACUAUUUAACCAGUACCAAGCUGGUCCUUUGAGUUUUAGUGGGAGGUAUUUGAUGCCGUGAAGGUCAUCUCCGCGGGCCAUAUGGAUAUGGAGAAGAAAAUCCUCGAUCCAUACCGCGGGGUCUGUUGUCCCAUCAUAUGAUUCGAUGUUUACGCGUUUAAACCCUUCUGGGAAUUCGUGAUCCAUUACCUCGUCAGUAAAGCAAAGAGGGUGUGCGGCGCCUCUAUAUUGGGCCACAUUGCGCCGUAGCUCCAAUGGAGUCCGUCUGGGGUUUUUGGCCCGAGCGUGACUAGGCUUGUCAUGUCCGAAUAGGGAGCCAUUGUCACGUGUCUGGGCACACCCUCGCGAUCCGUAGAUCGAUCUGGUAUGUCCUGCUCUAUUGUCCAUGUUCUACCGAAGGUCAUAUGUAUGACCCCGAGCUGUUUUAUAUCUGCCUUUACGGUGAAGUAGGGCGGGCUGGUGUUCAGCUUGGGUUGCCAUUUUGUCCCAACCACAUGGUGGUCGGUCAGCCGCAUUGCGCGAUGAUGGUACGGGCUCCAGUGCCUCAUCAUCGAACUGAGGUAGCGAUUUACGCUUCGGGUAACUUUUGGCUGGGCGCUUGAGGCCAUAUUCCUCGGCUGUUAGGACAUCAGUCCAUCUAUCAUUGAGCAGAUCUUGGUCAGCUUGAAGUUGCUGCUAUUUAUUUUUUAGGCUCCUUGCAGUGGCUAUUAGCCGGCUCUUAAAGCGCUCCUGCUCAAGAGGUUCCUCAGGCACGAUAAAAUCCUCGUUGCCGAGGCUCACCUCCUCCUCGAAGAGCGGAAGAUAGUUGCUGUCCUCCGAGUCUACGUGUAUGGCCUGUUCAUCAGGGCUAACUUGCCCAUCUUCCCGAUCGUCCUGUUCGGCAGUUUGUUCAUCGGGAUCUUCUCUAUCUUCGGCACUGUCCGAAGUGUUAUCGUCUCCUGUGCUGGUGUUGCUGUCUUUGAUGAGGCGUGAUUUAGAGCGGCGCUGCUGACGUCGGCGCUUUGGAUGUAUCUCAGGAGGUUUAUCCUCAACUGGAUCUUCCUUGUCAUCACCGCUAUUCUCUUUUGGUGCAUCCACCAUCUAUACAUCAUACGAGGAAGUGGCCGUCCAACGUUCGGUAAACGGCGGAUUUUGGGCCUCUCCUUCUCUGGCACCGUCGUCCAUAUCGUCGAUGUUUUUGGAGCCGUAAUCGAGCGUGUCGGUUAAGUCCUCGACAGUGGCUAUGAAGUGGGCGGUGGGUGGGAAAUGAAAUUCUCCAUCAUCAGCCUCCAGUGCUAACCGGAUAUAAUUCGGCUAUGAGUCCCCUGCUAAGGAUAUAUUUUUAGUGAGUUUAGCCGUCGCCCAAGGGCGAGUGCCCGAAGAUGUCCGCGGAGCUGAAUUCGAUGAUCGACGAUCGGUCAAGCUCGACGUACGUGGAGGCACAAGGUUCGGAACCUGCAGCCAGAGAUGAGUCCAUGGUUCCGGUGACAUAGAUGUCACUUGAAGUUAGGUCUGUGAGCGGCUCCAGCGCCGCUGAGUCUGCGGCUUCCGUGGCGGGGUUGAGCUUCUCGUCCUCGGAUGGCGCAAUCUGCUCCGAAUCUAAGGCCAGAGCAGUUACAGGUGCUAUUUCCUGUGUGUGGUCUGAUGACAGAUUUAUGUCAUGUUUAUCGUGGUGGCAGGGAGCGGCAACUGCCGUGGUCUCAAAUCUGUCGAAGAUCAAGUCUUCGCGGAUAUCCGCGACGUAGUUCAAGCUUCCAAAUCUGACCUGAUGGCCAGGGGUGUAGCUUUCGAUCUGCUCCAGAUGGCCAAACGAGCUGGCCCACAGUGCGAAGCCGCCGAAUACAAAGAUUUGUCCGGGGAGGAAGACUUCCCCUUGGACAGCAUCGUUAUAGAUGAUCGAAGGAGCCAUCAGAACCUUUUGCCGACGGCACAGUGGAACUCUCAAUGAAAUCACCAAUGUCGGUGUCAAAACCGGCGGAUCUCGGGUAGGGGGUCCCGAACUGUGCGUCUAAGGUUGAUGGUAACAGGAGAUAGGGGACACAAUGUUUACCCAGGUUCGGGCCCUCUCUAUGGAGGUAAUACCCAACUUCCUUCUUGGUUGAUCUUGAUGAAUAUAAAUGUUGCAAGAGUUGAUCUACCACGAGAUCGUAAUGGCUAAAACCCUAGAAGUCUAGCCUGUAUCACUAUGAUUAUGAUGAUUGUCCUCCACGGACUAAGCCCUCCGGUUUAUAUAGACACUGGAGGGAUCUAGGGUUACAUAAGGUCAGUAACAGAGAAAGGAAUCUUCAUAUUUGGUCGCCAAGCUUGCCUUCCACGCCAAGGAGAGUCCCAUCCGGACACGGGCGAAAGUCUUCGGUCUCCAUAUCUUCAUAGCCGAUCAGUCCGGCCUACGUCUAACAGGUCGGACGCCCGAGGACCCCUUAGUCCAGGACUCCCUCACAUGCUGCUAAGUAGUAUGACUAUUAUCGCCCACAACUCUUUGUGUUCUACUCGUGCAUAUAACAUCUACGCAUAGACCUGGCUCGGAUGCCACUGUUGGGGAACGUAGUAUUUGAAAAAAAUCCUACGAUCACGCAAGAUCUAUCUAGAAGAAGCAUAGCAACAAGCGGGGAGAGUGUGUCCAUGUGCCCUCGUAGACCGAAAGUGGAAGCGUUUAGUAACGCGGUUGAUGUAGUCGAACGUCUUCGCGAUCCAACUGAUCAAGUACCGAACGCAUGGCACCUCCGCGAUCUGCACAUGUUUAGCUCGGUGACGUCCCUCGAACUCUAGAUCCAGCUGAGGCCGAGGGAGAGGUCUGUCAGCACGACGGCGUGGUGAUGGUGAUGAUGAAGUUACCGGCACAGGGCUUCGCCUAAGCACGACGACAAUAUGACCGAGGUGUAAAACUGUGGAGGGGGGCACCGCACACGGCUAAAGAUCAACUUGUGUGUACUAGAGGUGCCCCCCUCCCCACGUAUAUAAAGGAGGGAGGGGGAGGCCGGCCAGCGUCCUAGGGCAUGCCAGGAGAGGGGAAUCCUACUAGGACUCUAAGUCCUAGUAGGUUUCCACCUAAGGAAGAGGGAGAAGAAGGAAGGAAGAGGGGGAAGGGAAGGAAAGGGGGGCGCCGCCCCUUCCCUAGUCCAAUUCGGACCCAAGGGGGGGGCAGCCCCUCCUGGCCCUUCCUCUCUUCCCACUAAGGCACAUGGUGGCCCAUUAAUUCCCCCGGGGGGGUUCCGUUAACCCUCCGGCACUCUGAUAUUUAUCCGGUAACCCCCGGAACUCAUCCGGUGUCCGAAUAACAUCGUCCAAUAUAUGAAUCUUUAUGUCUCGACCAUUUCGAGACUUCUCGUCAUGUCCGUGAUCUCAUCCAGGACUCCGAAGAAACUUCGGUCAUCAAAUCACAUAACUCAUAAUACAAAUCAUCAUCGAACGUUAAGCGUGCGGACCCUACGGGUUCGAGAGCUAUAUAGACAUGACUGACACACAUCUCCGAUCAAUAACCAAUAGCGGAACCUGGAUGCUCAUAUUGGAUCCUACAUAUUCUACGAAGAUCUUUAUCGGUCAAACCGCAUAACAACAUACAUUAUUCCCUUUGUCAUCGGUAUGUUACUUGCCCGAGAUUCGAUCGUCGGUAUCACCAUACCUAGUUCAAUCUUGUUACCGGCAAGUCUCUUUACUCAUUCCGUAAUGCAUCAUCACGCACCUAACUCAUUAGUCACAUUGCUUGCAAGGCUUAUAGUGACUUGCAUUACCGAGAGGGCCCAAAGAUACCUCUCCGACAAUAGGAGUGACAAAUCCUAAUCUCGAUCUAUGCCAACUCAACAAACACCAUCGGAGACACCUGUAGAGCAUCUUUAUAAUCACCCAGUUACGUUGUAACGUUUGAUAGCACACUAAGUGUUCCUCCGGUAUUCGGGAGUUGCAUACUCUCAUAGUUAUAGCAACAUGUAUAAGUCAUGAAGAAAGGAAUAGCACUAAACUAAACGAUUAUAGUGCUAAGCUAACGGAUGGGUCUUGUCCAUCACAUCAUUCUCUAAUGAUGUUAUUCCGUUCAUCAAAUGACAACACAUGUCUAUGGCUAGGAAACUUAACCAUCUUUGAUUAACGAGCUAGUCUAGUAGAGGCAUACUAGGGACACUCUGUUUGUCUAUGUAUUCACACAUGUACUAAGUUUCUGGUUAAUACAAUUCUAGCAUGAAUAAUAAACAUUUAUCAUGAUAUAAGGAAAUAUAAAUAACAACUUUAUUAUUGCCUCUAGGGCAUAUUUCCUUCAAUUACAUGGCGAUUGCAUUUCAUACGAUAAAGCGACAACCAUAAGGCUCCUGCCAGUUGCCGAUAACUUUUACAAAACAUGGUCAUCUCAUACAACAAUUUAUAUAUCAUUACGCCUUGACCAUAUCACAUCACAGCAAGCCCUGCAAAAACAACUUAGACGACCUCUACCUUGUUGUUGCAAGUUUUACGUGGCUGGUACGGCUUAGCAAGAACCGUUCUUACCUAUGCAUCAAAACCACAACAAUUUUUCAUCAAGUGUGUUGUUUUAACCUUCAACAAGGACCAGGCGUAGUCACACUCGAUUCAAGUAAAGUUGGAGAAACAGACACCCACUAGCCACCUGUGUGCGAAGCACGGCGGUAGAACCAGUCUCAUGAACGCGGUCAUGUAAUGUCAGUCUGGGCCGCUUCAUCCAACAAUACCGCCGAAUCAAAGUAUGACAUGCUGGUAAGCAAUAUGACUAUUAUCGCCCACAACUCUUUGUGUUCUACUCAUGCAUAUAACAUAACAUCUACGCAUAGACCUGGCUCGGAUGCCACUGUUGGGGAACGUAGUAAUUCAAAAAAAUUCCUACGAUCACGCAAGAUCUAUCAAGGAGAAGCAUAGCAACGAGCGGGGAGAGUGUGUCCAUGUACCCUCGUAGACCGAAAGCGGAAGCGUUUAGUAACGCGGUUGAUGUAGUCGAACGUCUUCGCGAUCCAACCGAUCCAAGUACUGAACGCAUGGCACCUCCACGAUCUGCACAUGUUCAGCUCGGUGACGUCUCUCGAACUCUUGAUCCCGUUGAGGCCGAGGGAGAGUUUCGUCAGCACGACAGCGUGGUGACGAUGAUGAUGAAGUUACCGACGCAGGGCUUCUCGUAAGCACUACAACGAUAUGACCGAGGUGUGUUUCUGUGGAGGGGGGGCACCGCACACGGCUAGAAGAUCAACUUGUGUGUCUAUGGGGUGCCCCCUACCCCGUGUAUAAAGGAGGGCAGGAGGAGGCUGGCCGGCCCUAGGGGGCGCACCCAAGGAGUGGAGUCCUACUAGGACUCCAAGUCCUAGUAGGAUUCCACCAAGAGGGAGAGAGGGGGAAGGAAGGAGAGGGAGAGGGAGUAGGAAAGGGGGGCGCCGCCCCCCUUCCCUUGUCCUAUCUGGACUCCACGGGGGGGGGGCUGCCCUGGCUAUCCUCCACUCUCUCCAAUAGGGCCCAUGGUGGGCCAUUAGUUCCCCCGGGGGUUUCCGGUAACCCCUCCGGCACUCCGGUUUUACCCGAAACCAUCCGGAACAUUUCCGGUGUCCGAAUAACAUGGUCCAAUAUAUCAAUCUUUAUGUCUCGACCAUUUAGAGACUCCUCUUCAUGUCCGUGAUCUCAUCCGGGACUCUGAACUUUUGGCGAACGCAGUAAUUUCAAAAUUUUGCCUACGAUCACGCAAGAUCUAUCUAGGAGAAGCAUAGCAACGAGCGGGAAGACUGUGUCCACGUACCCUCGUAGACCGAAAGCGGAAGCGUUUAGUAACACGGUUGAUGUAGUCAAACGUCUUCGUGAUCCAAUCGAUCCAAGUACCGAACGCACGGCACCUCCGUGAUCUGCACACGUUCAGCUCGCUGACGUCCCUCGAACUCGUGAUCCAAUCGAGGCCGAGGGAGAGUUUCGUCAGCACGACGGCGUGGUGAAGGUGAUGAUGAAGUUACCGGCCUAGGGCUUUGGCUAAGCACUACAAUGAUAUGACCGAGGUGUUGAACUAUGGAGGGGGGCACCGCACACGGCUAAGAGAUUGUCUGUUGUGCCUUUGGGGUGCCCCCUGCCCCCGUAUAUAAAGGAGGGGGAGGAGACAGUAGGAGAGGGAAAGGGGGGUGGCGCCCCCUGCCCUAGUCCAAUUCGGCCUCCUCCGUUGUGGGGGGUGCACCAGCCCCUUGUCGGCUGGUUAGCCUCCCCCUAUGGCCCAUAAGGCCCAUAUCUUUCCCCGGGGGGUUCCGGUAACCUCCCGGUACUCCGGAAAAAUGCCCGAAUCACUCGAAACCAUUCCGAUGUCCGAAUGCAGCCUUCCAAAAUAUGAAUAUUUACCUCUCGACCAUUUCGAGACUCCUCGUCAUGUCCGUGAUCUCAUCCGGGACUCCGAACAAACUUCGGUACAUCAAAUCACAUAACUCAUAAUACAAAUCAUCAUCGAACGUUAAGCGUGCGGACCCUAUGGGUUCGAGAACUAUGUAGACAUGACCGAGACACAUCUCCGGUCAAUAACCAAUAGCGGAACCUGGAUGCUCAUAUUGGCUCCUACAUAUUCUACGAAGAUCUUUAUCGGUCAAACCGCAUAACAACAUACAUUGUUCCCUUUGUCAUCGGUAUGUUACUUGCCCGAGAUUCGAUUGUCGGUAUCAUCAUACCUAGUUCAAUCUCGUUACCGGCAAGUCUCUUUACUCGUUCCGUAAUGCAUCAUCCUGCAACUAACUCAUUAGUCACAUUUCUUGCAAGGCUUAUAGUGAUGUGCAUUACCGAGAGGGCCCAGAGAUACCUCUCCGAUACACGGAGUGACAAGUCCUAAUCUCGAUCUAUGCCAACCCAACAAACACCUUCGGAGACACCUCUAGAGCAUCUUUAUAAUCACCCAGUUACGUUGUGACGUUUGAUAGCACACAAGGUGUUCCUCCGGUAUUCGGGGGUUGCAUAAUCUCAUAGUAUGAGGAACAUGUAUAAGUCAUGAAGAAAGCAGUAGUAAUGAAACUGAAACAAUCAUAAUGCUAAUCUAAUGAAUGGUUCUUGUCCAUCACAUCAUUCUCUAAUGAUGUGAUCCCAUUCAUCAAAUGACAACACAUGUCUAUGGGUUGGAAACUUAACCAUCUUUGAUUAACGAGCUAGUCAAGUAGAGGCAUACUAGGGACACUCUGUUUGUCUAUGUAUUCACACAUGUACUAAGUUUCCGGUUAAUACAAUUCUAGCAUGAAUAAUAAACAUUUAUCAUGAAAUAAGGAAAUAAAUAAUAACUUUAUUAUUGCCUCUAGGGCAUAUUUUUCAGUCUCCCAGUUUCACUAGAGUCAAUAAUCUAGUUCACAUCGCCAUGUGAUUUAACACCAAUAGUUCACAUCACCAUGUGAUUAACACCCAUAGUUCAAAUCGCCAUGUGACCAACCACUCAAAGGGUUUACUAGAGUCAGUAAUCUAGUUCACAUUGCCAUGUGAUUAACACCCAAAGAGUACUAAGGUGUGAUCAUGUUUUCCUUGUGAGAGAAGUUUAGUCAUCGGGUCUGCCAAAUUCAGAUCCGUAUGUAUUUUGCAAAUUUCUAUGUCUACAAUCCUCUGCAUGGAGCUACUUUAGCUAAUUGCUCCCACUUUCAAUAUGUAUCCGGAUUGUGACUUAUAGUCAUCUAGAUCGGUGUCAACGCUUGCAUCGACGUAACUCUUUACGACGAACUCUUUAUCACCUCCAUAACCGAGAAAUAUUUCCUUAGUCCUCUAAGGAUAAUUUUGACCGUUGUCCAGUGAUCUACUCCUAGAUCAAAAUUGUACUUCCUUGCCAAACUCAGGGCAGGGUAUACAAUAGGUCUGGUACACAACAUGGCAUACUUUAUUGAACCUAUGGCUGAGGCAUAGGGAAUGACUUUCAUUCUCUCUAUCUUCUGCCAUGGUCGGGCUUUGAGUCUUACUCAACUUCACACCUUGCAACACAGGCAAGAACUCUUUCUUUGACUGUUCCAUUUUGAACUAAUUCAAAAACUUGUCAAGGCAUGUACUCAUUGAAAAAACUUAUCAAGCGUCUUGAUCUAUCUCUAUAGAUCUUGAUGCUCAAUAUGUAAGCAGCUUCACCGAGGUCUUUCUUUGAAAAACUCCUUUCAAACACUCGUUUAUGCUUUCUAGAAAAUUCUACAUCAUUUCCGGUCGACAAUAUGUCAUUCACAUAUACUUAUCAGAAAGGCUGUAGUGCUCACACUCAUUUCUUGUAAAUACAGGCUUCACCACAAGUCUGUAUAAAACUAUAUGCUUUGAUCAACUUAUCAAAGUGUAUAUUCCAACUCUGAGAUGCUUGCACCAGUCCAUAGAUGGAUCGCUGGAGCUUGCACAUUUUGUUAGCACCUUUAGGAUUGACAAAACCUUCUGGUUGCAUCAUAUACAACUCUUCUUUAAUAAAUCCAUUAAGGAAUGCAGUUUUGUUAUCCAUUUGCCAGAUUUCAUAAAAUGCUGCAAUUGCUAACAUGAUUUAGACAGACUUAACCAUCGCUAGGAGUGAGAAAAUCUCAUCGUAGUCAACACCUUGAACUUGUCGAAAACCUUUCGCGACAAGUCGAGCUUUGUAGAUAGUAACACUACCAUCAGCGUCCGCCUUCCUCUUGAAGAUCCAUUUAUUCUCAAUGGCUUGCCGAUCAUCGGGCAAUUCCACCAAAGUCCAUACUUUGUUUUCAUACAUGGAUCCUAUCUCAGAUUUCAUGGCCUUAAACCAUUUUGCGGAAUCUAGGCUCAUCAUCACUUCCUCAUAUUUCGUAGGUUCGUCAUGGUCUAGUAACAUGACUUCCAAAACCGGAUUACCGUACCACUUUGGUGCGGAACGUACUCUGGUUGAUGAUACGUCUCCAACGUAUCUAUAAUUUUUUAUUGUUCCAUGCUAUAUUAUAUUCUGUUUUGGAUGUUUAAUGGGAUUUAUUAUACACUUUUAUAUUAUUUUUGGGACUAACCUAUUAACUGGAGGCCCAGCCCAAAUUGCUUUUUUGCCUAUUUCAGUGUUUCGAAGGAAAGGAAUAUCAAACAGAGUCCAAACGGAAUGAAACCUUCGGGAACGUGAUUUUCAGAACAAACGUGAUCUAGAGGACUUGGAGUGGAUGUCAAGCAAUCAACGAGGAGGCCACGAGGCAGGGGGCGCGCCUACCCCCCUGGGCGCGCCCUCCACACUCGUGGGCCCCUCGUAGCUCCACCGACCUACUUCUUCCUCCUAUAUAUACCUACGUACCCCCAAACCAUCAUCAGAGGAGCAAAAACCCUAUUUCCACCGCCGCAACCUUCUGUACCUGUGAGAUCCCAUCUUGGGGCCUUUUCCGGCGCUCCGCCGGAGGGGGCAUAGAUCACGGAGGGCUUCUACAUCAACACCAUAGCCUCUCCGAUGAUGUGUGAGUAGUUUACCUCAGACCUUCGGGUCCAUAGUUAUUAGCUAGAUGACUUCUUCUCUCUCUUUGGAUCUCAAUACAAAGUUCUCCUCGAUUCUCUUGGAGAUCUAUUUGGUGUAACUCUACUUUUUGCGGUGUGUUUGUCGAGAUCCCAUGAAUUGUGGGUUUAUGAUCAAGAUUAUCUAUGAACAAUAUUUGAAUCUCCUCUGAAUUCUUUUAUGUAUGAUUGGUUAUCUUUGCAAGUCUCUUUGAAUUAUUAGUUUGGUUUGGCCUACUAGAUUGAUCUUUCUUGCAAUGGGAGAAGUGCUUAGCUUUGGGUUCAAUCUUAUGGUGCUCGAUCCCAGUGACAAUGGGAGGCAUCCACAUAGAGUCAUACUUUGUUCUAAGUUUUGAGUUGUAAAGAAAAUAAAAGUGUGAUGAUCAUCAUUUUUAGAGCAUUGUCCCAAGUGAGGAAAGGAUGAUGGAGACUAUGAUUCCCCCAUAAAUCGGGAUGAGACUCCGGACUAAAAAAAAGAGAAAGGCCAUAAAAAAUUAAAAAAAUCAAAAAUGAGAGAAAAAAGAGAGAAGGGACAAUGCUACUAUCCUUUUACCACACUUGUGCUUCAAAGUAGCACCAUGAUCUUCAUGAUAGAGAAUCUCCUAUGAUAUCACUUUCAUAUACUAGUGGGAAAUUUUCAUUAUAGAACUUGGCUUGUAUAUUCCAAUGAUGGGCUUCCUCAAAAUGCCCUAGGUCUUCGUGAGCUAGCGAGUUGGAUGCACACCCACUUAGUUUCUUUUGUUGAGCUUUCAUAUACUUAUAGCUCUAGUGCAUCCAUUGCAUGGCAAUCCCUACUCACUCACAUUGAUAUCUAUUGAUGGGAAUCUCCAUAGCCCGUUGAUAUGCCUAGUUGAUGUGAGACUAUCUUCUCCUUUUUUUCUCUUCUCCACAACCACCAUUCUAUUCCACAUAUAGUGCUAUGUCCAUGGCUCACGCUCAUGUAUUGCGUGAAGAUUAAAAAGUUUGAGAACACCAAAAGUAUGAAACAAUUGCUUGGCUUGUCAUCGGGGUUGUGCAUGAUUUAAAUAUUUUGUGAGAUGAAGAUAGAGCAUAGCCAGACUAUAUGAUUUUGUAGGGAUAACUUUCUUUGGCCAUGUUAUUUUGAGAAGACAUAAUUGCUUAGUUAGUAUGCUUGAAGUAUUAUUAUUUUUAUGUCAAUAUUAAACUUUUGUCUUGAAUCUUUCGGAUCUGAACAUUCAUACCACAAUUAAGAGAAUUACAUUGAAAAUUAUGCCAAGUAGCAUUCCACAUCAAAAAUUCUGUUUUUAUCAUUUACCUACUCGAGGACGAGUAAGAAUUAAGCUUGGGGAUGCUUGAUACGUCUAUAAUUUUUGAUUGUUCCAUGCUAUAUUAUAUUCUAUUUUGGAUGUUUAAUGGGCUUUAUUAUACACUUUUAUGUUAUUUUUGGAACUAACCUAUUAACCGAAGGCCCAGCCCAAAUUGCUGUUUUUUGCCUAUUUCAGUGUUUCGCAGAAAAAGAAUAUCAAACAGAGUCCAAACGGAAUGAAACCUUCGGGAACGUGAUUUUCGGAACAAACGUGAUCCAGAGGACUUGGAGUCUACGUCAAGCAAUCAAGAUGGAGAGCACGAGGCAGGGGGCGCGCUGCUACCUCUUGAGCACUGCGUUGGUUUUCCCUUGAAGAGGAAAGGAUGAUGCAGCAAAGUAGCGUAAGUAUUUCCCUCAGUUUUUGAGAACCAAGGUAUCAAUCCAGUAGGAGGCUACGCGCGAGUCCCUCGCACCUACACAAACAAAUAAAUCCUAGCAACCAACACGAUAAGGGGUUGUCAAUCCCUACACGGUCACUUACGAGAGUGAGAUCUGAUAGAUGUGAUAGGAUAAUUUUUUUGGUAUUUUUAUAAUAAAGAUGCAAAGUAAAAUAAAAGCAAAGUAAAAAGCAACGGAAAUAACUAAGUGUUGGAAGAUUAAUAUGAUGAAGAUAGACCCGGGGGCCAUAGGUUUCACUAGUGGCUUCUCUCAAGAGCAUAAGUAUUUUACGGUGGGUGAACAAAUUACUGUUGAGCAAUUGACAGAAUUGAGCAUAGUUAUGAGAAUAUCUAGGUAUGAUCAUGUAUAUAGGCAUCACGUCCGAGACAAGUAGACCGACUCCUGCCUGCAUCUACUACUAUUACUCCACACAUCGACCGCUAUGCAACAUGCAUCUAGAGUAUUAAGUUCAUAAGAACAGAGUAACGCCUUAAGCAAGAUGACAUGAUGUAGAGGGAUAAUUCAUGCAAUAUUAUAAAAAACCCAUCUUGUUAUCCUCGAUGGCAACAAUACAAUACGUGCCUUGAUGCCCCUACUGUCACUGGGAAAGGACACCGCAAGAUUGAACCCAAAGGUAAGCACUUCUCCCAUUGCAAGAAAGAUCAAUCUAGUAGGCCAAACCAAACUGAUAAUUCGAAGAGACUUGCAAAGAUAACCAAUCAUACAUAAAAGAAUUCAGAAGAUUCAAAUAUUGUUCAUAGAUAAACUUGAUCAUAAACCCACAAUUCAUCGGUCGCAACAAACACACCGCAAAAGAAGAUUACAUCGAAUAGAUCUCCACGAGAGAGGGGGAGAACAUUGUAUUGAGAUCCAAAAAGAGAGAAGAGGCCAUCUAGCUAAUAACUAUGGACCCGAAGGUCUGAGGUAAACUACUCGCACUUCAUCGGAGAGGCUAUGGUGUGAUGUAGAAGCCCUCCGUAUUCGAUGCCCCCUCCGGCGGAGCUCCGGAACAGGCCCCAAGAUGGGAUCUCGUCGGUACAGAAGGUUGCGGCAGUGGAAUUAGGUUUUUGGCUCCGUAUCUGAUCGUUUGGGGGUACGUAGGUAUAUAUAGGAGGAAGGAGUACGUCGGUGGAGCAACAUGGGGCCCACGAGGGUGGAGGGCGCGCCCAGGGGGUAGGCGCGCCCCCUACCUCGUGGCUUCCUGGAAGCUUCCUUGAUGUAGGGUCCAAGUCUCCUGGAUCAUGUUCGUUCCAAAAAUCAUGUUCCCGAAGGUUUCAUUCCGUUUGGACUCCGUUUGAUAUUCUUUUUCUGCGAAACUCUGAAAUCGGCAAAAACAGCAAUUCUGGGCUGGGCCUCCGGUUAAUAGGUUAGUCCCAAAAAUAAUAUAAAAGUGAAUAAUAAAGCCCAAUAAUGUCCAAAACUAAAGAUAAUAUUGCAUGGAGCAAUCAAAAAUUAUAGAUACGUUGGAGACGUAUCAAGCAUCCCCAAGCUUAAUUCCUGCUCGUCCUCGAGUAGGUAAAUGAUAAAAACAGAAUUUUUGAUGUGGAAUACUACUAGGCAUAAUUUCAAUGUAAUUCUUCUUAAUUGUGGUAUGAAUAUUCAGAUCCGAAAUAUUCAAGCUAAAAGUUCGAUAUCGACAUAAAAAUAAUAAUACUUCAAGCAUACUAACUAAGCAAUUAUGUCCUCUCAAAAUAACAUGGCCAAAGAAAGUUCAUCCCUACAAAAUCAUAUAGUUUAGUCCUGCUCCAUCUUCGUCAUACAAGAAUGCUCUCAUCAUGUACAACCCCGAUGACAAGCCAAGCAAUUGUUUCAUACUUUAGUAAUCUCAAACUUUUUCAACCUUCACGCAAUACAUGAGCGUGAGCCAUGGAUAUAGCACUAUGGGUGGAAUAGAGUAUGAUGAUGGGGGUUAUGUGGAGAAGACAAAAAAAGGAGAAAGUCUCACAUCAACGAGGCUAAUCAAUGAGCUAUGGAGAUGCCCAUCGAUUGAUGUUAAUGCAAGGAGUAGGGACUGCCAUGCAACGGAUGCACUAGAGCUAUAACUAUAUGAAAGCUCAACAAAAGAAACUAAGUGGGUGUGCAUCCAACUUGCUUGCUCACGAAGACCUAGGGCACUUGAGGAGGCCCAUUGUUGGAAUAUACAAGCCAAUUUCUAUAAUGAAAAAUUCCCACUAGUAUAUGAAAGUGACAAAACAGGAGACUCUCUAUCAUGAAGAUUAUGGUGCUACUUUGAAGCACAAGUGUGGUAAAGGAUAGUAACAUUGUCCCUCCUCUCUUUUUCUCUCAUUUUUUUGGGCCUUCUCUUUUUUUAUGGCGUUUCUCUCUCUUUUUUUUAUUCCUCACUUGGGACAAUGCUCUAGAAAAUGAUGAUCAUCACACUUCUAUUAUUUACAACUCAAUGAUUACAACUCGAUACUAGAACAAAGUAUGACUCUAUAUGAAUGCCUCCGGCGGUGUACCGGGAUAUGCAAUGAACCAAGAGUGACAUGUAUGAAAGAAUUAUGAACGGUGGCUUUGCCACAAAUACUAUGUCAACUACAUGCUCAUGCAAAGCAACAUGACAAUGAUGAAGCGUGUCAUAAUAAAUGGAACAGUGGAAAGUUGCAUGGCAAUAUAUCUCGGAAUGGCUAUGGAAAUGCCAUAAUAGGUAGGUAUGGUGGCUGUUUUGAGGAAGAUAUAAGGAGGUUUAUGUGUGAAAGAGCAUAUCAUAUCACGGGGUUUGGAUGCACCGGCGAAGUUUGCACCAACUCUCAAUGUGAGAAAGGGCAAUGCACGGUACCGAAGAGGCUAGUAAUGAUGGAAAGGUGAGAGUGCGUAUAAUCCAUGGACUCAACAUUAGUCAUAAAGAACUCACAUACUUAUUGCAAAAAUCUACAAGUCAUCAAAAACCAAGCACUACGUGCAUGCUCCUAGGGGGAUAGAAUUGUAGGAAAAGACCAUCGCUCGUCCCCGACCGCCACUCAUAAGGAGGACAAUCAAAGAACACCUCAUGUUUCAAAUUUGUUACAUAACGUUUACCAUAUGUGCAUGCUACGGGACUUGCAAACUUCAACAAAAGUAUUUCUCAAAUUCACAAUUACUCAACUAGCACGACUUUAAUAUCACUACCUCCAUGUCUCAAAACAAUCAUCAAGCAUCAAACUUCUCUUAGUAUUCAAAACACUCAUAAGAAAGUUUUUACUAAUCUUGAAUACCUAGCAUAUUAGGUUUAUUUAAGAAAAUUACCAUGCUAUUUAAGACUCUCAAAAUAAUCUAAGUGAAGCAUGAGAGAUCAAUAGUUUCUAUAAAACAAAUCCACCACCGUGCUCUAAAAGAUAUAAGUGAAGUACUAGAGCAAAAACUAUAUAACUCAAAAGAUAUAAGUGAAGCACAUAGAGUAUUCUAAUAAUUUCCGAAUCAUGUGUGUCUCUCUCAAAAGGUGUGUACAGCAAGGAUGAUUGUGGUAAACUAAAAAGCAAAGACUCAAAUCAUACAAGACACUCCAAGCAAAACACAUAUCAUGUGGUGAAUAAAAAUAUAGCUCCAAGUAAAGUUACCAAUGGAAGUAGACGAAAGAGGGGAUGCCUUACGGGGCAUCCCCAAGCUUUGGAUUUUUUGUGUACUUAGAUUAUCUUGGGGGUGCCAUGGGCAUCCCCAAGCUUAGGCUCUUGCCACUCCUUGUUCCAUAAUGCAUCAAAUCUUUCACCCAAAACUUAAAAACUUCACAACACAAAACUUAACAGAAAAUCUCGUCAGCUCCGUUAGCGAAAGAAAACAAAAGACCACUUCAAGGUACUGUAAUGAACUCAUUCUUUAUUUAUAUUGGUAUUAAACCUACUGUAUUCCAACUUCUCUAUGGUUUAUAAACUCUUUUACUAACCAUAGAAUCAUCAAAAUAGGCAAACAACACACGAAAAACAGAAUCUGUCAAAAACAGAACAGUCUGUAGUAAUCUGUAACUAACGCAAACUUCUGGAACUCCAAAAAAUCAGCCAAAAUAGAAAGACCUAGACAAUUUGUUUAUUCAUCAGUAGUAAUUGGAAUCAAUAUUUUAUCACGUUCUGGUGAUUUUAACAAUUGUUUUUGUCAACAGAAAGUUUCUGGAAUUUUCUGCGAGAUCAAAUAACUAUCAUCCAAGAAGAUUCUAUAGGUUUAACUUGGCACAAACACUAAUUAAAACAUAAAAACACAUCUACCAGUGGCUAGAUCAAAUAUUUGUUCCUAAACAGAAGCAAAAAGCAAAAAACUAAAAAAAUAAAAUUGGGUUGCCUCCCAACAAGCGCUAUCGUUUAACGCCCCUAGCUAGGCAUAAAAGCAAGGAUAGAUUUAGGUAUUGCCAUCUUUGGUGGGCAAUCCAUAAGUGGCUCUCAUGAUAGAUUCAUAUGGUAGUUUUAUUUUCUUCCUAGGGAAGUGUUCCAUGCCUUUCUUUAAUGGAAAUUGGAAUCUAAUAUUCUCUUCCUUCAUAUCAAUAAUUGCACCAAUCGUUCUAAGGAAAGGUCUACCAAAAAUAAUAGGACAUGAAGGAUUGCAAUCUAUAUCAAGAACAAUAAAAUCUACGGGCACAUAGUUCCUAUUUGCAACAAUAAGAACAUCAUUAAUUCUUCCAAUAGGUUUCUUAAUAGUGGAAUCCGCAAGGUGCAAGUUUAAAGAGCAAUCAUCAAAAUCACGGAAACCUAGCAAAUCGCACAAAGUUUUUGGAAUCGUGGAAACUCUAGCACCCAAAUCACACAAAGCAUAGCAUUCAUGAUCUUUAAUCUUAAUUUUAAUAGUAGGUUCCCACUCAUCAUAAAGUUUUCUAGGGAUAGAAACUUCCAACUCAAGCUUUUCUUCAUAAGAUUGCAUCAAGGCAUCAACGAUAUGUUUGGUAAAAGCUUUAUUUUGACUAUAAGCAUGAGGAUAAUUUAGCACGGAUUGCAACGAGGAAAUACAAUCUAUCAAAGAGCAAUUAUCAUAAUUAAAUUCCUUGAAAUCCAAAAUAGUGGGUUUAUUAAUAUCUAGGGUUUUGAUUUCUUCAAUCCCACUUAUAUCAAUUUUAGCAUCAAGAUCUAGAAACUCCGAAUUUUUGGAACGCCUUCUAGGAAAAGGUGGAUCAUAUUCAGUCCCAUCAUUAUCAAGAUUCAUAUUGCAAAACAAGGAUUUAAUAGGGGACACAUCAAUAACUUUUAGAUCUUCAUCUUUAUUUUCAUAGAAAUCCGGUUUAGCAGCCAUCUUAUUAACUAAGGUAGCCUGCUUAUCCGAUAUUUCAGCUAUCAACUUUUCAAGACGAGCAAUUUGGGAUCUCAAACCAUCAAAUUCUAUAGACAUAUCAUCGAGCUCUUUAUUCAUAUAACUCAUAAAGCUUUUUUGUUCCUUAAGAUCGUUUCUGAAGAAAUUAUUAUGCUCAAAUUGCAAAACCAUAAAACUCCUGACGUUGCUUUCGAUCUCUUCUAACCUUUUAAGGUCAAGAUCACCAAAUCUAGGUAGAGCCAUCGUGACAAACAAGCAAUCCAACACACGAGCAAACAAGAAGCAAGCGAAAAAGAGGCGAACGGAAAAGAGAGGGCGAAUAAAACGGCAAGGGUGAAGUGGGGGAGAGGAAAACGAGAGGCAAAUGGCAAAUAAUGUAAUGCGGGAGAUAAGGGUUUGUGAUGGGUACUUGGUAUGUUGACUUUUGCGUAGACCUCCCCGGCAACGGCGCCAGAAAUGGCUCGUUGUUGGGAGUCCAAAUCUUUACUUGACCUUGCGUAAGCCUCCCCGGCAACGGCGCCAGAAAUCCUUCUUGCUACCUCUUGAGCACUGCGUUGGUUUUCCCUUGAAGAGCAAAGGGUGAUGCAGCAAAGUAGCGUAAGUAUUUCCCUCAGUUUUUGAGAACCAAGGUAUCAAUCCAGUAGGAGGCUACGCGCGAGUCCCUCGCACCUACACAAACAAAUAAAUCCUCGCAACCAACGCGAUAAGGGGUUGUCAAUCCCUACACGGUCACUUGCGAGAGUGAGAUCUGAUAGAUGUGAUAGGAUAAUAUUUUUGGUAUUUUUAUGAUAAAGAUGCAAAGUAAAAAAGCAACGGAAAUAACUAAGUGUUGGAAGAUUAAUAUGAUGAAGAUAGACCCAGGCGCCAUAGGUUUCACUAGUGGCUUCUCUCAAGAGCAUAAGUAUUUUACGGUGGGUGAACAAAUUACUGUUGAGCAAUUGACAGAAUUGAGCAUAGUUAUGAGAAUAUCUAGGUAUGAUCAUGUGUAUAGGCAUCACGUCCGAGACAAGUAGACCGACUCCUGCCUGCAUCUACUACUAUUACUCCACACAUCGACCGCUAUCCAGCAUGCAUCUAGAGUAUUAAGUUCAUAAGAACAGAGUAACGCCUUAAGCAAGAUGACAUGAUGUAGAGGGAUAAAUUCAUGCAAUAUGAUAAAAACCUCAUCUUGUUAUCCUCGAUGGGAACAAUACAAUAUGUGCCUUGCUGCCCCUACUGUUACUAGGAAAGGACACCGCAAGAUUGAACCCAAAGCUAAGCACUUCUCCCAUUGCAAGAAAGAUCAAUCUAGUAGGCCAAACCAAACUGAUAAUUCGAAGAGACUUGCAAAGAUAACCAAUCAUACAUAAAAGAAUUCAGAAUAUUCAAAUAUUGUUCAUAGAUAAACUUGAUCAUAAACCCACAAUUCAUCGGUCUCAACAUACACACCGCAAAAGAAGAUUACAUCGAAUAGAUCUCCGCGAGAGAGGGGGAGAACAUUGUAUUGAGAUCCAAAAAGAGAAAAGAAGCCAUCUAGCUAAUAACUAUGGACCCGAAGGUCUGAGGUAAACUACUCACACUUCAUCGGAGAGGCUAUGGUGUUGAUGUAGAAGCCCUCCGUGAUCGAUGCCCCCUCCGGCGGACCUCCGAAAUAGGCCCCAAGAUGGGAUCUCGUGGGUACAGAAGGUUGCGGCGGUGGAAUUAGGUUUUUGGCUCCGUAUCUAAUCGUUUGGGGGUACGUAGGUAUAUAUAGGAGGAAGGAGUACGUCGGUGGAGCAACAUGGGGCCCACGAGGGUGGAGGGCGCCCCCAGGGGGGUAGGCGCGCCCCCCUACCUCGUGGCUUCCUGGAAGCUUCCUUGACGUAGGGUCCAAGUCUCCUGGAUCAUGUUCGUUCCAAAAAUCAUGUUCCCGAAGGUUUCAUUCCGUUUGGACUCCGUUUGAUAUUCUUUUUCUGCGAAACUCUGAAAUAGGCAAAAAACAGCAAUUCUGGGCUGGGCCUCCGGUUAAUAGGUUAGUCCCAAAAAUAAUAUAAAAGUGAAUAAUAAAGCCCAAUAAUGUCCAAAACAGAAGAUAAUAUAUCAUGGAGCAAUCAAAAAUUAUGGAUACGUUGGAGACGUAUCACGCGCCUACCCCCCACCCCCAGGCGCGCCCUCCAUCCUCGUGGGUCCCACGUUGCUCCACCGACAUACUUCUUCCUCCUAUAUAUACCUACGUACCCCCAAACCAUCAGAGGCAUCCACGAAAACCUAAUUCCACCGCCGCAACCUUCUGUACCCGUGAGAUCCCAUCUUGGGGCCUUUUCCGGCGUGCUGCCGGAGGGGGCAUUGAUCACGGAGGGCUUCUACAUCAACACCAUAUCCUCUCCGAUGAUGUGUGAGUAGUUUACCUCAGACCUUCGGGUCCAUAGUUAUUAGCUGGAUGGCUUCUUCUCUUUCUUUGGAUCUCAAUACAAAGUUCUCCACGAUUCUCGUGGAGAUCUAUUAGAUGUAAUCUUCUUUUGCGGUGUGUUUGACGGGACCGAUGAAUUGUGGGUUUAUGAUCAAGUUUAUCUAUGAACAAUAUUUGAAUCUUCUCUGAAUUCUCUUAUGUAUGAUUGGUUAUCUUUGCAAGUCUCUUCGAAUUAUCAGUUUGGUUUGUCCUACUAGAUUGAUCUUUCUUGCAAUGGGAGAAUUGCUUAGCUUUGGGUUCAAUCUUGCGGUGUCCUUUCCCAGUGACAGCAGGGGCAGCAAGGCACGUAUUGUAUUGUUGCCAUCGAGGAUAACAAGAUGGGGUUUAUAUCAUAUUGCAUGAGUUUAUGCCUCUACAUCAUGUCAUCUUACUUAAAGCGUUACUCCGUUCUUAUGAACUUAAUACUCUAGAUGCAUGCUGGAUAGCGGUCGAUGUGUGGAGUAAUAGUAGUAGAUGCAGGCAGGAGUCGGUCUACUUGUCACGGACGUGAUGCCUAUAUACAUGAUCAUACCUAGAUAUUCUCAUAACUAUGCUCAAUUCUAUCAAUUGCUCGACAGUAAUUCGUUUACCCACCGUAAUACUUAUGCUAUCUUGAGAGAAGCCACUAGUGAAACCUAUGGCCCCCGGGUCUAUUUUCCAUCAUAUUAAUCUCCUGACAACUAGCUAUUUCUGGCGCCGUUUAUUUUGCUUUCUUUAGUUUUACUCUUUACCAUAAAAACACCAAAAAUAUUAUCUUAUCAUCUCUAUCAGAUCUCACUCUCGUAAGUGAGCGUGAAGGGAUUGACAACCCCUUUAUCACGUUGGUUGCGAGGUUCUUAUUUGUUUGUGUAGGUGCGUGGGACUCGAGCGUGGUCUCCUACUGGAUUGAUAUCUUGGUUCUCAAAAACUGAGGGAAAUACUUACGCUACUUUACUGCAUCACCCUUUCCUCUUCAAGGGAAAACCAACGCAGUGCUCAAGAGGUAGCAAGAAGGAUUUCUGCCGCCGUUGCCGGGGAGUCUACGCACAAGUCAAGACAUACCAAGUACCCAUCACAAACUCUUAUCCCUCGCAUUACAUUAUUUUCCAUUUGCCUCUCGUUUUCCUCUCCCCCACUUCACCCUUGCCGUUUUAUUCACCUUUUCUUCGCCUUCUUCCCGUAUGUCCUUUUGUUUGUGUUUCCAUGUGCCUUCUAUUUGCUUGCAUCUUUACUUGCUAAAAAUCUAUUGAUAUGGAUCCACUUAAAGUGUUCUACUUGGAUCAUCUUCAAUCCUUAUUGCCCUCGUGUUGAAACCCCAACUAGCCUAGUUGAUGGGAAAUCUUUAGAUGAGCAUGCUCAUUUUGUGCUUCACCGUUUGUCUGAAAAAGGGAAACUCUUAUGGGGUCAAAUAAACAGAUUGUUGUGUUAUGCUUGGAAUCUUUGUGAAAUUCAUGAUUUUACUUGUUGCUCUAAGAACCCUAAAAAACACCUUCCCUACCUAUGUGAGUUUAAAGAAAAUGAAAUCUUAUCUUCUUAUGCAAAGGGUGUUUAUAGUUACUAUGAUAUCGAACAAAUUGAAGAAUUUGUUGCUUUUAAGCGUGCUUAUGAAGUAGCUUCUUUGAUUGAAAAGUAUGAUAUUACUCUCUACGAAUCUGAAAUUUUUGACAUACUUAAAUAUUGCUAUGAAAACUAUGCUCAUAAUGUCUAUGUCAAAGAAUUUAUUGAGAGAAUGACCGUUGCUUUGGAAGAAAAUAAUGAUAUGCAUGAAUCUAUGGAUAAUGAUGAUUCCGAUGAUUUGAUUGAAAUAUCCCUUGAUGAACAUGAUGCUUUCUACUCUUGUGGCCAUGAUGCCAAUCUUUAUGAAGAUGAAUUUUCUAUAGUUCCUUAUGUUAAAUAUGAGAUCGUUGCUAUUGCACCCAUACUUGGUAGUUCCUUCGAUGAAAAGCAUGAUUGCAAUGAUGUUAUUAUAAAUUCUCUUAAUGCCAAUUGUGCUAAUAAUAUGCAAAACCCUAAGCUUGGGGAUGAUAGUUUUGCUACAUCUACUACUUGUUGCAAUGAUCAUGAUUGGGGUGAUUCUUCUUAUGAUCUUGAAAAUUUAUUUAAGCCCCAUGAUGAAUAUGAGAUUGAUAUUAGUGUUUGCAAUAGUAUUGAAAGUGGGUUUGGAAGAGUGUCAACUUUAGAUCCCACAUAUUUGGAGAAUGUUCAAUCUUAUGAAUUUUUUUGAUAAAAGUGGGUUUGGAGAGGUCAUGACUUUAGUUAAUGUUAAUCCCACUAUUUUGGAAGAGUGUCAACUUUGCAUGCAUGUGGAUCGUGUUGAAAAUAUUUUAUGUGAUAGCUAUUUUGUUGAAUUUGAUUAUGACCCUACAUGUAAUUAUUAUGAGAAAGGAAAAUAUGGUUGUAGAAAUUUUCAUGUUACAAAAUUACCUCUCGUUAUAUUGAGAUUGCUAUUGUUCCUUUCUUCUUCCAACAAUCGGAGUGACAAAUCCUAAUCUCGAUCUAUGCCAACUGAACAAACAGCAUCGGAGACACCUGUAGAUCAUCUUUAUAAUUCCCAGUUACGUUGUGACGUUUGAUAGAACACAAAGUGUUCCUCCGGUAUUCGGGAGUUGCAUAAUCUCAUAGUCAUAGGAACAUGUAUAAGUCAUGAAGAAAGCAAUAGCAAUAAACUAAACGAUCAUAGUGCUAAGCUAACGGAUGGGUCUAGUCCAUCACAUCAUUCUCUAAUGAUGUGAUCCCGUUCAUCAAAUGACAACACAUGUCUAUGGUUAGGAAACUUAACCAUCUUUGAUUAACGAGCUAGUCUGGUAGAGGCAUACUAGGGACACUCUAUUUGUCUAUGUAUUCACACAUGUACUAAGUUUCCGGUUAAUACUAUUCUAGCAUGAAUAAUAAACAUUUAUCAUGAUAUAAGGAAAUAUAAAUAACAACUUUAUUAUUGCCUCUAGGGCAUAUUUCCUUCAACAGUAACUGAUCGACCUGUCGUGGGGUGAGCCGUUUCGAUUAAGUUGUCAGGCUAAGUGGAACUGUUCACACCGAGAUGGCUGGCCUUAGGGGCUAAGUUAUCCGAUCUCUUCGGACAAAGGGUACAAGUUCGGUUGAGCCUCGGCCGACAUCGCUCCUUUGAAGGAGUGAUCCAAGGAUUGUAAGGUGGAACUCGUCUGUCGAGCCAAGGACUCCGGAUCCCAGGUUGUUGUUGUCAGGAAGGUCGUCCUCGGCAUAUAAGACCAGUUCGGGGGCUACUGACGGUGUCCUGGAUAAGGGGUUACUAACCUAGUCGGCCCAUGCUCCUCGGGCUGGGCCGAUGGGCCCUCGCUUGUACUCAAGAUGGACUCCGGAGGCCGUACGUAGGAGGCGUGAUCAAGACUACCUCCACCGAAGACUUGAUGUAUGCUCCAAGAUCUCUCAUGCCGCCUUGCUCCUAGAUACCGACCUUGUAACCCUAGAUGCCAUCCUUGGCGUAUAUAUAAGCCAUAGGGUUUAGCCCGUAAAGGGGAGAUCAACGCAAUAUCAUUCACCUAACCGUAGAGUUAGUCCACAUAUUACAAUCUCAAGGUAGAUCGACUCUGUACUCGAUAUAUCUUCAUCAGUAUAAACAAGAGUAAAACGUACGGUUUUACCUCCAUAGAGAGGGCCCAAACCUGGGUAAACAUCGUCUCCUUCGUUCCUAUCACCCUUGAUCCGAGAUCCAUAGCUCGGGACCCCCUACCUCGAGGUCUGCCGGUUUUGACACCGAAAAUCAGUUUCAUAUUUCUUGCUUUCUCGAGGUCAUGAUAAAUGAAGAGAAUCGUAUCGUCGGCAUACUGAAGUAUAGAGAUACCAUCAUCAACUAGAUGAUUUACUACCCCAUUAAUUUGGCCCAACCCUGGCAUGCCCAAUCAUGACCGCUAGCAUAUCCACCACUAUAUUGAAUAGCAUCGGCGAUAACGAUGUUGGAAAUAUGCCCUAGAGGCAAUAAUAAAUGGUUAUUAUUAUAUUUCCUUGUUCAUGAUAAUUGUCUAUUGUUCAUGCUAUAAUUGUGUUAUCCGAAAAUCGUAAUACAUGUGUGAAUACAUAGACCACAACAUGUCCCUAGUAAGCCUCUAGUUGACUAGCUCGUUGAUCAACAGAUAGUCAUGGUUUCCUGACUAUGGAGAUUGGAUGUCAUUGAUAACGAGAUCACAUCAUUAGGAGAAUGAUGUGAUGGACAAGACCCAAUCCUAAGCAUAGCACAAAAGAUCAUGUAGUUCGUUUGCUAGAGCUUUUCCAAUGUCAAGUAUCAUUUCGUUAGACCAUGAGAUCGUGUAACUCCCGGAUGCCGUAGGAGUGCUUUGGGUGUACCAAACGUCACAACGUAACUGGGUGACUAUAAAGGUACACUACGGGUAUCUCUGAAAGUGUCUGUUGGGUUGACACGGAUCGAGACUGGGAUUUGUCACUCCGUAUGACGGAGAGGUAUCUCUGGGCCCACUCGGUAAUGCAUCAUCAUAAUGAGCUCAAUGUGACUAAGGAGUUAGCCUCGGGAUCAUGCAUUACGGUACGAGUAAAGAGACUUGCCGGUAACGAGAUUGAACAAGGUAUUGGGAUACCGACGAUCGAAUCUCGGGCAAGUAACGUACCGAUUGACAAAGGGAAUUGUAUACGGGAUUGAUUGAAUCCUCGACAUCGUGGUUCAUCCGAUGAGAUCAUCGUGGAACAUGUGGGAGCCAACAUCGGUAUCCAGAUCCCGCUGUUGGUUAUUGACCGGAGAGGCGUCUCAGUCAUGUCUGCAUGUCUCCCGAACCCGUAGGGUCUACACACUUAAGGUUCGGUGACGCUAGGGUUGUAGAGAUAUUAGUAUGCGGAAACCCGAAAGUUGUUCGGAGUCCCGGAUGAGAUCCCGGACGUCACGAGGAGUUCCGGAAUGGUCCGGAGGUGAAGAAUUAUAUAUAGGAAGUCCAGUUUCGGCCACCGGGAAAGUUUCGGGGGUUAUCGGUAUUGUACCGGGACCACCGGAAGGGUCCCGGGGGUCCACCGGGUGGGGCCACCUAUCCCGGAGGGCCCCAUGGGCCGAAGUGGGAAGGGAACCAGCCCUUAGUGGGCUGGGGCGCCCCCCCUUGGGCCUCCCCCUGCGCCUAGGGUUGGAAACCCUAGGGGUGGGGGGCGCCCCACUUGCCUUGGGGGGCAAGCCACCCCCUUGGCCGCCGCCUCCCCUCAGAUGGGAUCUCCAGGGUGGCCGGCGCCCCCCCCAGGACCCCUAUAAAUAGUGGGGGAGAGGGAGGGCAGCAACAACACAGCCCCUAGCGCCUCCCUCUCCCCCUGCGCAACACCUCUCCCUCCCGCUUGUGCUUGGCGAAGCCCUGCCGGGAUCCCCGCUACUUCCACCACCACGCCGUCGUGCUGCUGGAUCUCCAUCAACCUCUCCUUCCCCCUUGCUGGAUCAAGAAGGAGGAGACGUCGCUGCUCCGUACGUGUGUUGAACGCGGAGGUGUCGUCCGUUCGGCACUCCACUAGUAGGAAAAGGGGCUUUUACCCCGGUUCAUAAGGGCCUUUAGUCCCGGUUCUUACACGAACCGGGACUAAAGGCCGUCCACGUGGCCGGUGCGGGGAGCCCAGGCAGCAGGGCCUUUGGUCCCGGUUGGUGCCACCAACCGUUAGCAAUAGGCAUCCAUGCGUCAGCACCUGGCAGGAGUUGAGGUUUUUGUUUUUUUUUGAAAGGGGUUGGAUUAGGGGUUUUGGGGGUUAAUUUAGGUGUUUCAUAUAUUGUGUUAGCUAGCUAAUUAAUAGAGAGAAGUGUCCUCUCUUAUCUCCGUGCUUGGUCAAUGCUACGUACUAUAUACGUAUGGAGAGGAGUAGACACGCUAGCUAGUAAUCAAAUGAAGGAAACAAAAGAUCGUCAUGAACAUAUGCAUACAGAGAGAAGUGAUAUCGACCACCUCUCCUUCUCCGAGAUAUUGGUCGAACAACAAGUUCUCGUAUAUCUAUCCGACACUACCGGCUACAUAUAUACAAUAAUUAUCUCUUACAAUACAAUCUCCUAAUUAUAUUGUAGGAACACAGGGUCCACAUAGUAUUCUCCGUUUUCAGCGAUCACGUGGUCAAGGAAGAAUGCCGCCAAUUCCUCUUGAAUUGCUCGCAUACGAUGUUCUGCUAGGAGUUCAUCCCGCAUCCGAAAGAUCUAAUUUGAAGAAGGGGGUCAAUACAUAUAUAUAUAUAUAUAUAUAUAUAUGAAUAAAUGAAACUCAACACAAAUGAUGGUAAUAAAAUAAAAUUGUGAAUAUUAUUGCUUACGCACUUCAUAUUGUUCUUCAGUGUAGCCCCGCUCACAGGUCGUGUGGUGGAUGGACUCGCAAACGUAGUAUCCACAGUAAUUAUUCCCGGGUUCCUGCCACAACCACUUUACAAGAAAUAGAGGUCAAUCAAACUGAUAAGCAAGCAUGCUAAAUGGUAUUGAUGAAACUAGCGCUUGAAUCACUAGGAGAUGCGCGGAACAUGCUACUAUGGUACUUACUUUCAGGUGUCUAAAUUGCAGCUUCUUCGGGAGUCCCGGAGCUUUUGAGGUGAAUUUUCUCCAAACCCUGCGAGACAAAGAAAACAAUUACUUGAUAUCAGGAAAUGAACAAAGUUGCUGAUAUGGUGGAUAAUGAUCGAUUUAACUUACUUCUGGAGCAUUUGAGUCAUGUUCGCAUAGUCCUGGGGAUCUUUUCGUCUCGAGUCUAAGACGGUUACUACUCCCGGCUCAAGCUUAAUCUCUAGGAGAAUAUAGUGGAAGCUACGCAUGCAUGCAUAAGUCAUCAAUUACAUUACCAUAACCUGGACUAAUAAGGGAAACCGAAUAUGCACAAGACAGUAACACUCACUUGAAGUUGUAAGGAAAGAGUAUUAUAUCUUUGUUUUGAUUUAAUACCAACGAUUGUAGCAAGUUGGCCUCGGCUUCUUUGGGAUUUUUUUCAACCGUAUAUGCAUCUAUGAGAUUUGUGUUAAUGAACCCAAUAUCACCGAUUUGUCUUUUCUUCAAUUCGGCGAUCUUCAAUCUGCAUAAUAUAGUGAGGAUAAGUAUAAAUACAUGCAAUGAAAGAGCUGACCUAUAUAGAGAGACUUAAUGACAGAAGUAGUACUACUUACACACAGUAGCAAGUGAUCGUUGUUUUAUCGAGGGACUUUUGAUUGUAAAACUGUAAGAAAUCCUCAAAUGGAACAUUCAGCAGUUCAAUUCCAACGAGGUCAUGCUCCGGUUUAACUCUCAGCGUCAAAGUACUCAUCCCAUCAGACUCUCUGCAGGUUUUCAUGUACCAAUCAUGUAGUCUUCGCAUCAUCGUGCUUAGAUAUCUGACAUCUUUGACGAGAGGCUUCCCGUAAUGGUAUUUGUGGUCGUCCACCUCCAUGAUUUCAUAAUGUACAUCGUCGGGUAGGUAAUCUCCAAGAUUGCUAUAACCGGGCACCAUACCCGGAUCAUUAGCGACGAUGUCUUUUGACACCUUGAGCAGGGGGCACGAUUGGUUCGCUUGUUCGCCGAGCUGGGCAAUUUUUUUCCCAGCUCGUCGUUCUUUCAUCCUUUUAUCACUGACAGUACUUCCCGACCGCUCCGCUUCGGCAUAUGGCUUUGCAAGAACGCACUCAUAGUUUCCUCUCGGCGGAGACUUUGGUGGUUUUGUCAGGGCAGCCAGAGUGCACUUUGCUUUCACCGGAUCUACCUUCUCCUCCGGAGGUGGAUGUUUCUUUGCUUUCACCCCUUCAAAGAAGUUCUUCACUUCGGCUCGCACGAUCUUCGCGUUCUCCUCCUCGGUCCUCUCAUAUGGUAACUUCUCUGGAGUCUUCAGAGAAGGAACGAAUCUGUAUUGCCUCCCGCCUCUGGCAGCUGUACUGCUAGACGCCGGCAGAGCAGACGGAGCGGCUGCGGCUGUCUUCUUUCCUUGCUUACGAGGCGGAGGAGAAGGACUACGACGCGCCGGAGCAGCCGCAGCGGGUCUCUUCCGCCCUUGCUGACGAGGCGGAGAAGGAGGAGGCUGGCUGCUCUUGCGCGCCGGCGCUAGCGGAGAAAGAGGCGGAGUGCCGCCACGCGCCGGAGAAGGAGGCUGAGUGCCCUGAUCACUCGCCGGAGGAGGAGGCGGAGGAGGAGGCGGAGUGCCCUUACUCGCCGAAGCCGUCCAGUUCGGAAGCUUGAUGAGCUCCUUCCGCCAUAGGCAUGGAGUCUUCAGAGCUAAACCCAGCCGAGUCUCCCCUUCACCGGUAGGGUGGUCAAGCUGGAGGUCCUCAAAUCCCUCCGUUAUUUCAUCCACCAUCACCCUAACAUAUCCUUCUGGAAUCGGCCGGCAGUGGUAGGUUGCGUCGGGUUCAGUAGGUAAAACAGAGCCAACAGCCACCUUGACUUUCAAGUUCUGCCAUUCCGCCAUAAGGUGGCAAUGUUGAGACUCCGUGAUAGCAUCCACGGGGUAGCUAGCAGGAGCCGCAUGCUCCAGCUGAGGCAGCUCGGUGGAAGCCAUGCUGCUUCUAUGCUGAGAUGGCGGUGUAGCUUCGGGGGCAGUUUCGGCAUCUCGAUUGCCGUCUCGUUCCUCUAGCACUUGAACCCUUUCGUGCAGACGCUGAAUUUGGAUCUGCUCCACUUUUUUCCUCCUCUCCUGGGUUUUGUAACCACCCACGUCCGAAAAACCAGCCUUCCACGGAACGGAGCCUGGCGUGCCUCGUGUUCGUCCAGGGUGCUCAGGAUUCCCGAGGGCCAUUGUGAGCUCGUCGUUCUCUCUGUCUGGAACGAACGUCCCUUGCUGCGCUGCAUCGAUAUAGUGCUUAAGCUUAUUGACGGGUAUUGCAAGUUGCUCGUCCGUCCAACGACACCUCCCUGAUACAGGGUCCAAGGUUCCGCCAGCCCCGAAGAACCAAGUCCGGCAACGGUCUGGCCAGUUCAUUGUCUCUGGUUCGAUCCCUUUAUCAAGCAGAUCCCUCUCAGACUUGGCCCACUUAGGCCAGGCUUUGAGGUAGCCACCUGACCCCGUGCGAUGGUGAAGCUCCUUCUUCGCAGCAUUCUUCUUGUUUGUCGCUGACAUCUUCUUACUCCUUUUCGAUGUCUUGUGGGCCACAAAUGCGGGCCAGUGAUCUCUGAUCUUCUCAUACCGGCCGAUGAAUUCUGGUGUCUCUUCUUUGCGACAAACGUUUUCAGCUCAUUCUUCCACCUCCUAAAUAAGUCUGCCAUCUUCUUAAGAGCAUGAGACUUGAUUAAUUGCUCUACAACUGGCUUCUCCGGAUCCUCCUCUGGCGGUAGGGUGAAAAUUUGCCUUCAGCUCAGUCCAAAGAUCAUCUUUCUGCAUAUCAUUGACAUAAGACACCUCAGGGUCUUCCUUCUUAGGCUUAUACCAUUGGUGGAUCCUGAUCGGGAUCUUGUCCCUAACUAGAACCCCGCACUGAGCAGCAAAAGCAUCCUUUGUCCGGAGGGGUUCAAUCGGUUGGCCGUCGCGCGCGAUUGCUGUGAUCUCAAACCUUUCAUCCGAGCACAACUUUCUCUUCGGGCCUCGUCUCUUUACCGCAGUUGUGCUCGAUCCGGAGGGCUAGAAAAAAGGAGAAAGACGAGUGUUAAUUAAUAUGUGUACAUACCAAAACAAUGAAUGCAUCAAUUAGCUAGUCAGCACAGGCUUAACUAAUAUAUUUACCUGGCCGGACUCUGUUCGGUCACCGGAGCCGUCACCAUGGGCUCCUUCUUGCACCAGCAUUGGGUCACCGGAGCCAUCAUAAUCAUGUCUUUCCUCCUCCACUCUUCGAUCACCGCAGCCUGCUUCUUCACCCUGUUCUUCCAGACCAUCAUUGUCGUUAAGAUACGACAAGAUAUCACCUCCGGCUAAGAUUAUGUCCCCCAACACGUCUUCUGCUUGCUCCUCUCGUCCGUGCUCCAUUGUUUCUGCAAAUAUUACAACAUGGCAAUUAUUACACAAACAUGACAGCAGGUGGAUAUAUUAGUGCAAACGUAGACCUAGCUUAUUCCGGGUUUGGGGUGGCCUAGGCAACGCUUCAAGGGUAGGGGCGCGGCGGGAGGGGGUAGGAGACCGACAUCGUUUUUUCUAGGGUUUGGGUGUCCUCGAGAGUUUUGGUCGAGCGAGAGGGCCGGGGGGGUGCUCCCGUGGUAUAAGUUAUCACGGUCGAGAGGGGGUAUACAUAUCGACCGUCCAUCAUGUCGAAGUUAUCUGGGAGGGAGUUAUAUAUAUCGACAACGACGACAUACUUACAUGGGAAAGUAAUGUUAUCGGGGAGGGGGUAUAUAUCGAACCCUCCCACGUGUUGAAGUUAUCGGGAGGGGGUUUUAUAUCGACAACGACGACAUACAUACACGGGAAAAUAAUGUUAUCGAGGAGGGGGUAUAUCGACCCCCCCCCUCGUGUUGAAGUUAUCCCCCCUCGUGUUGAAGUUAUCGGGAGGGGUAUAUAUCGACGACGACAGACCCGAUAAAACAUAAGAAAACGAAGAAGAAAUAAAAAGAGGAGAGAAGUAGAAAUGAAUAGAGGAGAGGAUUGAAGAAAAAAAAGAAGAAAAAAAAAGAGGAAAGAAAAUUUUCUAUUUUUUCUUCUUCUCCUCUAUUCCUUUCUUCUUCUCCUCUUCUUUUUCUUCUUUUUUCCUCUUCUUAUUUAUUUCUCCUCUUCUUCCUCUCCUCUUCUUCUUCCCUUCCUAGCUAGAUAUAUAAAACUUUUCUAAAAUUGUAACUUUUGCAUAUAUAGAACUUUUCCAUGUGGAUCAUCAUUUCUCAUAUAUAUCGAAUAUAUAUCCAUUGUCAUAUAUAAAAACUUUCUAUAUAUGAACAAAAAAACAUUUUUGACAUAUAUAUUCAUACAUUUUGAACAUCUACAUACAUACAAAAAAAUUUUGUUCACAUAUACAUUAUAGCCACAUACACAUAUACAUCACAUAUGAACAAAAAAAUUAAACUAAUAAAAAUAAAAAAACAGAGCCGGGGCGGCGGCUCUCACAGCGGGGGCAGCUAGGACGAUGGCGACGGCGGGGGCGGCGAGGGCGCNNNNNNNNNNNNNNNNNNNNNNNNNNNNNNNNNNNNNNNNNNNNNNNNNNNNNNNNNNNNNNNNNNNNNNNNNNNNNNNNNNNNNNNNNNNNNNNNNNNNNNNNNNNNNNNNNNNNNNNNNNNNNNNNNNNNNNNNNNNNNNNNNNNNNNNNNNNNNNNNNNNNNNNNNNNNNNNNNNNNNNNNNNNNNNNNNNNNNNNNNNNNNNNNNNNNNNNNNNNNNNNNNNNNNNNNNNNNNNNNNNNNNNNNNNNNNNNNNNNNNNNNNNNNNNNNNNNNNNNNNNNNNNNNNNNNNNNNNNNNNNNNNNNNNNNNNNNNCGGUUGGUGCCACCAACCGGGACCAAAGGCCUUGCGCUGCCCGCGGCCAAAAGUUUAGUCCCACCUCGCUAGUUGAGAGGGGCUCGGAGUGGUUUAUAAGCCCCACUGCGGCUGCCCUCUCGAGCUCCUCUCAAAUGCAUGCUUACGGGCCUAAUGUCACACUGUGCUGUCUGUUGGCCUAUUGGGCCUUCUGCGGGCCUGAAUCCUGGCCCAAGUUGGGUUUCUAGCCGUAUUCAGGCCGUGGUGGCCCAAUAGGUGGCAGUUUUUUAAAAAAAAUUCCAGUUUUUUGGUUCUGUUUUUUGCAUUAUUUAUUUUCUUUUGUUUCUUGCUUUAUUUUUGAAUUCCUUUUGCUUUUAGGUCAGCAAAAUUAUAAACUGUCUGUUAUUGCCAUUAGUUUUAGAAAACAUAUAAACUUUCUAUUAGUGCCAUUAGUUCUUUAUGAAAAUUCUUUUUGCUGUAUUUAGUUUUUUUGUUUUCUGUUUUGCUAUAUUUAUUUUGUUUUGUUUCUACUUACAACAAAAAACUUAUUUAUUUUAUUUUAUUUUGUUUCUAAUUAGUUAUUUAUUUUACUUUAUGAUAAUUCUUUCUGCUAUUAAAGUUUCUAUCAAAAAAAGUUCUUUAUGAAAAUUCUUUUUGCUUUUAAUGAUUAAAAAUAAAAAAGAGGCGCAAUGCGCGUUGAUUUGCUUCAAGUCUUUCGGAAUAGUGUAGACUGCACUGCACAUAGCUCGAUGCAGUCUACCUUAUUCCUCAAGGCUUGAAGCUAAGCAGCGUGAGCAUUGCGCCUCUUCUUCAUCGUCUCUGCACUCAGGGCUUAUAAACCGCUCCUAGUGCCUCUCAGCUAGCGAGGUGGGACUAAAAAACUGCUUAGCUAGUAAGAAACUCUAGUACCGGUUCGUGCCACGAACAGGUACUUAAGGUGCUCGUGGGGCCACAGCCUCAUUAGUACCGGUUCGUGGCACAAACAGGGACCAAAGGGUGGAAUUGGUCCCGGUUCGUGCCACCAACCGGGACCAAUGGCCUUGCACAGCGGCGUGGUGGUGUGUUUAGUCCCACCUCGCUAGCUAAGAGAGAGCCGCACCUGUUUAUAAGGAAGACCAAAAGGUCGAGCAUGAGUCGUAUAGAAGAUACGAUCAACAUGGAGAUGUUCACCGAUCUUGACUAGUCCGUCUCACGUGAUGAUCGGACACGGCCUAGUUAACUCGGAUCAUGUUUCACUUAGAUGACUAGAGGGAUGUCUAUCUGAGUGGGAGUUCAUUGAAUAAUUUGAUUAGAUGAACUUAAUUAUCAUGAACUUAGUCUAAAAUCUUUACAAUAUGUCUUGUAGAUCAAAUGGCCCACGUUGCCCUCAACUUCAACGCGUUCCUAGAGAAAACCAAGCUGAAAGAUGAUGGCAGCAACUAUACGGACUGGGUCCGGAACCCGAGGAUCAUCCUCAUAGCUGCCAAGAAAGAUUAUGUCCUAGAAGCACCGCUAGGUGAAGCACCAAUCCCAGAGAACCAAGACGUUAUGAACGCUUGGCAAUCACGUGCUGAUGAUUACUCCCUCGUUCAGUGCGGCAUGCUUUACAGCUUAGAACCGGGUCUCCAAAAGCGUUUUGAGAAACAUGGAGCAUAUGAGAUGUUCGAAGAGCUGAAAAUGGUUUUCCAAGCUCAUGCCCGGGUCGAGAGAUAUGAAGUCCCCGACAAGUUCUUCAGCUAUAAAAUGGAGGAAAAUAGUUCUGUUAGUGAGCACAUACUCAGAAUGUCUGGGUUACACAACCGCUUGUCUCAGCUGGGAGUUAAUCUCCCGGAUGACGCGGUCAUUGAAAGAAUCCUUCAGUCGCUUCCACCGAGCUACACGAGCUUUGUGAUGAACUUCAAUAUGCAGGGGAUGGAAAAGACCAUUCCUGAGGUAUAUUCAAUGCUGAAAUCAGCGGAGGUGGAGAUCAAAAAGGAACAUCAAGUGUUGAUGGUGAAUAAAACCACUAAGUUCAAGAAAGGCAAGGGUAAGAAGAACUUCAAGAAGGACGGCAAGGGAGUUGCCGCGCCCGGUAAGCCAGUUGCCGGGAAGAAGUCAAAGAAUGGACCCAAGCCUGAGACUGAGUGCUUUUAUCGCAAGGGAAGUGGUCACUGGAAGCGGAACUGCCCCAAAUACUUAGCGGACAAGAAGGCCGGCAACACCAAAGGUAUAUGUGAUAUACAUGUAAUUGAUGUGUACCUUACAAGUACUCGUAGUAGCUCCUGGGUAUUUGAUACCGGUGCGGUUGCUCAUAUUUGUAACUCAAAACAGGAACUGUGGAAUAAGCGGAGACUGGCAAAGGACGAGGUGACGAUGCGCGUCGGGAAUGGUUCCAAGGUUGAUGUGAUCGCCGUCGGCACGCUACCUCUGCAUUUACCUACGGGAUUAGUUUUAAACCUCAAUAAUUGUUAUUUAGUGCCAGCUUUGAGCAUGAACAUUGUAUCUGGAUCUCGUUUAAUUCGAGAUGGCUACUCAUUUAAAUCCGAGAAUAAUGGUUGUUCUAUUUAUAUGAGAGAUAUGUUUUGUGGUCAUGCUCCGCUGGUCAAUGGUUUAUUCUUGAUGAAUCUCGAACGUGAUGUUACACAUAUUCAUAGUGUGAAUACCAAAAGAUGUAAAGUUGAUAACGAUAGUCCCACAUACUUGUGGCACUGCCGCCUUGGUCACAUUGGUGUCAAACGCAUGAAGAAACUCCAUGCAGAUGGACUUUUGGAGUCUCUUGAUUACGAAUCAUUUGACACGUGCGAACCAUGCCUCAUGGGUAAGAUGACCAAGACUCCGUUCUCCGGAACAAUGGAGCGAGCAAUCAACUUAUAGGAAAUCAUACAUACCGAUGUGUGCGGUCCAAUGAGUGUUGAGGCUCGCGGAGGAUAUCGUUAUGUUCUCACUCUCACUGAUGACUUAAGUAGAUAUGGGUAUGUCUACCUAAUGAAACACAAGUCUGAAACCUUUGAAAAGUUCAAGGAAUUUUAGAGUGAGGUUGAGAAUCAACGUGACAGGAAAAUAAAAUUCUUAUGAUCAGAUCGUGGUGGAGAAUAUUUAAGUCACGAAUUUGGUACGCGCUUAAGGAAAUGUGGAAUCGUUUCACAACUCACGCCGCCUGGAACACCUCGGCGAAAUGGUGUGUCCGAACGUCGUAGUCGCACUCUAUUGGAUAUGGUGCGAUCUAUGAUGUCUCUUACCGAUCUGCCGCUCUCAUUUUGGGGCUAUGCUUUAGAGACUGCCGCAUUCACUUUAAAUAGGGCUCCGUCGAAAUCCGUUGAGACGACACCGUAUGAAUUAUGGUUUGGGAAGAAACCUAAGCUGUCGUUUCUAAAAGUUUGGGGAUGCGAUGCUUAUGUCAAGAAACUUCAACCUGAAAAACUCGAACCCAAGUCGGAAAAAUGCGUCUUCAUAGGAUACCCCAAGGAAACUGUUGGGUAUACCUUCUACCUCAGAUCCGAAGGCAAGAUCUUUGUUGCCAAGAACGGGUCCUUUCUGGAGAAAGAGUUUCUCUCGAAAGAAUUGAGUGGGAGGAAAGUGGAACUUGAUGAGGUGAUAGCCUCCACCGACUGGGGAGGAAAUUAAUGAUGAUGAUCAUGAAGCUUCGGAUCAAGUUACUGCUGAACUUCGUAGGUCCACAAGGACACGUUCCGCACCAGAGUGAUAUAGCAACCCUGUCCUGGAAAUCAUGUUGUUAGACAACGGUGAACCUUCAAACUAUGAAGAAGCGAUGGCGGGCCCGGAUUCCAACAAUUGGCUUGAAGCCAUGAAAUCCGAGAUAGGAUCCAUGUAUGAAAACGAAGUAUGGACUUUGACUGACUUGCCUGAUGAUCGGCGAGCCAUAGAAAAUAAAUGGAUCUUUAAGAAGAAGACAGACGCGGAUGGUAAUGUGACCAUCUAUAAGGCUCGACUUGUCGCUAAGGGUUAUCGACAAGUUCAAGGGGUUGACUACGAUGAGACUUUCUCACCCGUAGCGAAGCUGAAGUCCGUCCGAAUCAUGUUAGCAAUUGCCGCAUACUAUGAUUAUGAGAUAUGGAAGAUGGACGUCAAAACGGCAUUCCUUAAUAGCUUUCUUAAGGAAGAAUUGUAUAUGAUGCAGCCGGAAGGUUUUGUCGAUCCUAAGAAUGCUAACAAGGUAUGCAAGCUCCAGCGCUCCAUCUAUGGGCUGGUGCAAGCAUCUCGGAGUUGGAACAUUCGUUUUGAUGAGAUGAUCAAAGCGUUUGGGUUUACACAGACUUAUGGAGAAGCCUGUGUUUACAAGAAAGUGAGUGGGAGCUCUGUAGCAUUUCUCUUAUUAUAUGUGGAUGACAUACUAUUGAUGGGAAAUGAUAUAGAAUUCUUGGAAAGUAUAAAGGCCUAUUUGAAUAAGUGUUUUUCAAUGAAGGACCUUGGAGAAGCUGCUUAUAUAUUAGGCAUCAAGAUCUAUAGAGAUAGAUCAAGACGCCUCAUUGGUCUUUCACAGAGUACGUACCUUGACAAGAUAUUGAAGAAGUUCAAUAUGGAUCAGUCCAAGAAGGGGUUCUUGCCUGUAUUGCAAGGUGUGCAAUUGAGCACGACUCAAUGCCCGACCACAGCAGAAGAUAGAGAAAAGAUGAGUGUCAUCCCCUAUGCCUCGGCCAUAUGUGACACCCAAAUUUUUAUUUGGAUUUUUCAAAAGAUUUUAUUUGACUUGAGGGAGGUGAUUUAAAAAUUUUCUUCAAAAGAACUAUCCCAUUCAAAUAUUUUUUUCUUCUUUAUGGCAAAGGUUUUAUUUGGAUUCAUCCAAGAUCUGUCUUUGGUCUUGGAGGUUCUUGCUUUUUAUUUGGACUCAAGACAAAAUGUUUUUCAUUUGGGGAAAAUGACUUUUGAAAAUAUUUUUGAAAAUGCACUAUGGCUUUUGGAAUAAUCCUUUGCCACUUUCAACAUUUCUCUCUUGCCAUGGCCUUAGUGCAAAUCCACUCUCCUAACCCUCCCCUCAUCUUUGGAUCAUGUUUUGCAUCAAAUCCAGCAAGUUGAACCUCCCCCUAUGAUUAUUUUCCAUUUAAAUUUCAUCAAAUAAAUUUCUGUCUUCUACCCUAGCCCUUGGAGAUUUACAAAGGAGCUACCAUCUCUGCUUUGAUUUUUGGCCCCAAACCAAUUCCCCUUCCUAGUCCUUUGAACCCUCAACCAAGAUCCAUGAAGAUCCACUCGUCUUUAGUUCAAAUUUUUCAAACUACACUUGCUGCAAGUUUGGACCAGAUUUGUCAAAUUUGGUGAAAUUCAUUCAAAUCCCUCUCAAAAAAUUCUGAGUAAAAUCAGGCAGCCUCUGGGUGCAUUGAGUGGUCACCUCACCAAGUACCAGCUCCAAAAAAAAUUCUGCUUGCCAAAUCAUUCUGUCGAACACCUGCAGUGCAUUGUCAAUAUCAGGUUCAGUAAAGUUCAGAGAACAUUUCAGUGCGCUGUCGUUUUCUUCAGAGCCCGACGUCGAUCUCGCCAGUGCCACUGUGUCGCCGUGUUCCCUGUCCCCUCCCCCUUGUCCUCUGCACCGCACGAGCAUCUGGCAUCUUGCGGACGUCGGCGAAAAGCCGCCGCUGGCGUCGGUCACGAGGCCGCGCUGACGGCGCCACCCAGCGCCGCCCAAGCCACCGGAGCUCGCCGCGUGGCCUUCCACUCCCCAGAACGCGCUGCCACUCUCGUCGUGAACCGCAGGGCGCGGAGCGCGCUCUCUGCCGCCGACGUGCCCGUGCGGCCACUCCACCGUGGACCGGCGCCAUAACGCCAAGACCAACCGAGAUUUGCGGGGGAACGGCACCAGUAACCUCCACUGAUGCUGCCUGGCCACUCAAACCUCCUGCCAAUCCACUGCAUCGCCGUAAUUGCUCGCCGGAGAUUCUCCGUUCACGGCCACCCCGUCGAUCCGCCUAUAAAUAGAGGCCCCGAGCUUCAACUCGAACCCACACCAUCCCUGCACUCCACCUAGAGCACGCCUAGCCACUGGAAGAGCCCCGAGGAGGUCUCCUUCCUCGACUCCGGCCGCCGCGACCCGCCACGGGAUCCAGCUCGAUUCGCCCCCGUGCGUGCGCCUCUGCCUCCCAUCUCUUGCCAGUAGCUUCACUAUGCAUCCCUCCUUCUGACCCGCGCUUCAAUUCGAAGUUUGCAGCCCUCCACCGGAGUUCUCCACCAUCACCCGAGCCGCCGUCCGCCGGAGAAAGUGUCGCCGUCGACGUGGUGCUCCCCGUUAGUCGAGUCCACCACCCACCGACGCGGAAGAACACGCUGAAGCUCUUGGUACCCUCCGAUCUUCCUGACUCGCCGUGGUUCGACGCCGGCGUCCACCGCAGUCUUCGGGCGCCGGCGAGCUUUUUGAACCUGACAUGUGGACCCCCCAUGUCAGCCUCUGUUCUAAUCUCCCUCGACCCGUUUUCUGUUGGCGCCUUCGGGCAAAAUACGCUUUCCCUCUUUAGCUAGCGCAUUUCUUUCCGAAGCGUUUUCUGGUUUCUCAGUUUAAACCCUGGAACUUUUCUGUUUCAUUACAGAUAGGUCCCUGGACAGAAACCUUUAUAACUUUUUAAUAAAAAGGAAUUUUUGAGUGAUUCUUUUUCUGACCUUCUUAAAAUUUUGUCUAGUUUUUUAUGGGAUUUAUUUGGAAAAUUGUUGGAGAAGUUUCUGUGCACGCGUUGAUUUUCACGUUAGUGCCCAUUUCCGUUAUUGUCGUAGGUUCCGGAAGAGGUGAUGGAGCCGCGAACUUCGCCGAGCUAGACUCCGACUUCUCCGAACCAGGCAAGCAUGUUUGAACCUUUGAUAUGAUAGGUGUUUUGCAUGUUUGCAUGACAGUUGGAGCGUGGCAUAUGAGUGUCAGUGAGUACCUCGUUGCUUGUGAGGCAACUACCCGCAUGUUCCAAAGUUGCGAUGAUCUCUGAUGAGAGAUGGCCUAAUCAUGUGGUGACAUGAAGGGCAGCAAGGUGGUACUGUUGUAGCAUACCAGCCUUGCGUCAUCCGACGAAUUCCGACGUUAACGUGGACGGAGUCACGUUAUCGUUCUUUUCCCCUCCGUGCUGCCACAUGUUUCAUUUGCCAGGAUGCGGUUUAGUAAGUUGGUAACCUCUUUCCGUGUACACACCAAACAGAGGGGCCGGGAUGAUGGUACCUUGGCCCAGGAUUAAAGCCAGUCAUCCGGUCAGGGGGCAUGGGUGUUUCCGGUUGGGACCGAGAGGGGGGGCACCCCUUUAGAGCGCGCGUAUAGAAAUUUGAUCCCAUGCUACGCGAGGUUGUAGCCUUCCCGUCUCAAGGUUUUUCUUGAACGUUGCCGAGGGUGAUCCCUGGCUUCGGAAUAUUGAAAUGGGUGUGUACUGGUUAGACGUGUUUCUUCCAAAACACCGUAAACGGAACUAGUCCCCGUGACUACGGAAAUCUGUUGGCUGUGGUUAAGUACAAACUCUGCAGAGUCAAAUUCUUCCAAGUCAUCGUGUCCAUGAUCAAGUAGGGUAAUCAAUAUAUCCAUAUCUAUCCUCGUGGAAAACUUGUCUCCGGUGAACAAGCUCAAGUGGUAAACCCGGUUAAAUUAUUAUUACUAUGGAUGGACUAACCUUUUAUUUGUCUCGUACUUGUAAUAAUUUAUGAUCUCGAGCUACUGCAUUAUUGAGCUACAAUAUAAGCCCUUUAUGUGACGUCGCUCAGACGUCCGACUGUGGCAUGUCUUUGUUUCUCACUUUAAAUAUAAGCCCUUUAUGUGAUGUCGCUCAGACGUCCGACUGUGGCACACACUGCCUUUAUUUUCUGAUAUAAGCCCUUUAUGUGGUGUCGCCCCGACGCCCGACUGUGGCAUUAAUAUUCUGCAGUUUCCUCUCGAGGAGUCAUUCAGACACUCGUUUGGCACCAGUAUUACCAUUCUUGCAGUUUCCUCUCGAGGAGUCAUUCAGACACUCGUUUGGCACCAGUACUACUAUUCUUGCAGUUUCCACUCGAGGAGUCAUUCAGACCCUCGUUUGGCACCCAGCAUUUAUUAUCUCUAUGUCUGAACGCACUAGUUAACUUGUUUAUAUGCUUCAUGUUUACAUUUGUUAUAUCUUAUGUCCGAACUGUCUUGCGAGUACUUUCAUAGUACUCACCUGGCUUGUUGAUUUGGCUAGAUGUUGACGAAGGCGAUCUUUUGGAUGAAGAGUUUGAUAGCGCGUCCGACGCCUAGAGGAGUCCCAGUCAGUCCUGCGCGAUCCCGGAUAUUGGUCACUUGUAUUAUAUACGCUUCCGCCACCCGCAAUAACUCUCCUCGAGCCUCGCUUCGACGCUCGAAGAGCUGUAGUCUUCAGGAGUCAUAUCACUCGCUUCGCGGUGAUAUUUCCACCACCGUUAUUAUCGUGAGUUAGUAGUUAUGCCACCCUAUACGCCGUCUUGUUUUAUUAGCGUGCAUGUAAUAGAUUGUUGGGCAGUCUCCGCUCAACCUUGUAUUAUAUUCAGUACUCCUAGUAUUUUUCUUCUGUGACCAAGAUAUUGUCUACCAGUGGGAAGGGAUUCUUCCUUCUGGUCCGUAAAAGGGAUUGGUCUCUCAAUAAUUAUUUUAUUGAAAAACAGGUCGUGACAAGCUUGGUACUAGAGCCAGGCUGGCUGUAGGAAGCCACUAGGUGCGAUCGCUAAUCGGUUAUUAGCGUCUUUUGAGCUUUUUCAGCAUUUUGCAAAUUGUAGCUAUUUUCUGUUGGUCAUCAUAAAUUUAUGACAUGACUACUCAGAAUUUUUGCCUACUUUUGUAGAUGGCUAGCAGUAGCUGUGAGAAUCGAGUGUUCACGAACGUGCCCGAGGGGUUUGUCAAGCUCCUCGUCUCCAUCACCGAGCUCGCGAUCGGGCCAGCAGCCCGCCCGGAGUUCACGCUCUAUCAGCACAAGCUCAGCAACGAUGUGUCUAUGCACCAAGCUGUGGUGCAAUUCAAGGGAGGACGUUCUGCAGCUCGCCACUUCCGUUUUGUGGGAAGGGCCAUGCCUACGGAGAGGCAUGCCAUGCAGAUGGCUGCCCGUGAGGCGAUUGCUCGUCUUCGGGACAUCCUUCCUACGAUGAAGACUCGUCGCUACCGCUACCUCCCAUGCCAUGUGCCAUACACCAGUCACUAUGCAUUCGCCUGCCAUCGGGGAGAGCGAGAUGAAGCCAUCGAGAUGGUUGUGGAGUAUCUCAAGGCUCUGGAAGAGUCUUUCGACAACCUCGUGGACGAUCUUGUGGCUGCCCGCAUGGACUUAGUCCGGGGCGGUCCUGCCAGCAGGAAGGAGCUUCUCCACACGGCACCGCCUCUGACAUUCGUCUCGUCUUCAGCCUCUUAUGCACCGGCCGUUUUGGCCACUGUUCGCCGUCUGCCUACCACUGAGGAGUUCGACCGAGUCGUCGCUCCUACUCCAGUCAGGGCUGCACCGCCUGCCGCACCCGCGCUACCACCUGUCGCUCCCGCGCCAUCACCACAGCGCAGCGUUACGCGCCAGGAGCUAGCUAGAGAGGAGGUGGAGGUUGAUUCUCCUGGACCACUGAGUCUUGCCAUCGGCAAGGGGAAGGAAAUCUACACCAUCUCCGACUGAGAGCGCCGAGUAGCCGCGCGUUAUGUCUAUUUGUAUGAUGUGUUUUCUCUGUACGCUAGUUUGUAUUGGUGUGUUUGCUACCUUCCGGAGGAGUACGCUAGUCUAAAUAACAUGUCAGGAAUGUGUACGCGCAUCCUGAGUGCUGUAUCGUGUGUUUGCUUUUCGCGUGUAAGAAUUGUGUUAAGCAGUCUUUUCUCCAUACAAAACCGCUUAUGUUUUCCUUGAAAACCUUGAAGUCUUUUAAAUUGUUGCCUUUGCAAGAUUUUCCUGGUGCUACACAGUUUUUCUCAUGGGUUUUGCAAAAUAAUACCCCAGACUGGAAAAAUGUCUCAUCCGUGGACUCGCUCCAUGCCCAAUCAGCCAGAAGAGGUUUAUGGGACACAGACUAGCAACAACUUCACUCAGGGUCAGUCCAGUCAACAAGACAGCGAAGCAGCCCUGUCUCAAGUCUGCCGUCUCUUCGAGCAAAGCCAGCAACAGCACCAAGAGAUGAUGAAUCAUGUCAUCAAUAUGGGAAACCACCGCGAACCCUAUCAACCACAUUCCAAGUUAUCUGAGUUACAGAAGACUCGCCCUUCAACUUUUGCUCACACCGACAGGCCGCUGGAAGCCGAUGAUUGGCUUCGUGACAUUGAAAGGAAACUGAUUAUUGCUCAGUGUUCAGAUCAUGAGAAGGUGCUUUAUGCGCCACACUACCUUACUGGAGCAGCUGCAGCAUGGUGGGAGAACUUCCUACACAUGCAUCCCAGUGAACACAACAUCACCUGGGAAGAGUUCAAGGAAGGCUUCCGUGGGGCACACAUCCCCAGGAGCAUCAUAAAAAUCAAGAAGAGAGAGUUUGAUGACCUGAAGCAGAGAGGCAUGUCAGUGACAGAAUACAAUGGUCAAUUUACCCAGCUAUCUCGUUAUGCCUACGACGAGCACAUGACAGAAAACAAGAAGAUGGAAAAAUUCCUGGACGGCCUGGCACCAGCACUAAGAUGCCAACUGAUUGUACACACAUUUCCGGAUUUUAAAACUCUGGUGGACAAGGCCAUUACCUUGGAGAAUGAGCGCCGUAGUCUGGAAGAUGUCCGUAAGCGAAAGAGGGACAAAACGACUCUUGCUCGCAACAACCGAAACAAGACUGAGGUUCCACGGACAGAAGCAAGGAGAUCCACGAUUACUGAUCCAAGGCCCGUCGGACAGUUUCAUGCCAGGGACAAGGAGUACACGUACCGUCCAGGGGUCACCUGCUAUGCUUGUGGUCAAGAAGGGCACUAUGCUAAACAAUGCCCAAAGCCGAGGAACGCGGCCCCCAAACCAAACAAUGGUGGAAACAAUCCAGCCCCCAAGCGCAACAAUUUCAAUCCCAACAACAACCACAGGAAGGGUCACCUGAACCAUGUGACCAGGGAAGAAGCGCAGAAUGCCCCAGACAUCGUGCUCGGUACGUUCCCUGUCAACACAGUACCUGCCACGGUUUUGUUUGAUUCUGGAGCUUCCCAUUCGUUCGUUUCGAAGAGUUUUGUUUUGCGACAUGGUUUUCCGAUACUUCCCUUGGAAAAAUCUAUGAUCAUCAAGUCCCCCGGAAAUAAGCAAAUCGCUCAGGGUUACUGCCAAGGAGUGGUCAUUGAGUUCGAAGGACUACAAUUCCAAGCAAAUCUCAUCGUGUUGGAGAGUAAAGGACUGGAUGUCAUUUUAGGAAUGGACUGGUUGACCACCAACAAAGGAUUCAUUUACUGUUUCAAUCGGACCGUGAUUCUCACCCACCAUCAUGGCAAGACCAUUAAGGUCACAGCUCAAGAAAGGCCACGAACACAACAACCAAAACUGGAAAAAAGUGGGCAUUUCUGAACUGAGAAAAGUUCCAGUGGUAUGCGAGUUUCCUGAUGUGCUCCCUGAAGAACUGCCAGGCAUGCCACCAGACCGAGAGAUAGAGUUCAGCAUCGAACUAGCACCUGGCACCGCUCCCAUCUAUAAGAAGCCUUAUAGAAUGGCACCAUCAGAAUUGGUGGAGUUGAAGAAGCAGAUAAAGGAAUUAUUGGACAAAGGAUUUAUUCGAGCCAGCUCCUCACCUUGGGGUUUGCCAGUGUUGUUCGCCAAGAAAAAGGAUGGGACACUGAGACUGUGUAUAGACUAUCGAGCCCUCAAUAUGGUCACCAUCAAAAACAAAUAUCCGAUGCCACGGAUAAAUGAUUUGUUUGACCAGCUCGCACAAGCCAAGGUAUUCUCAAAAAUUGAUUUGAGAUCGGGAUAUCAUCAACUGAAGGUACGGACAGAAGAUAUCCCCAAGACAGCAUUCACUUCCAGAUACGGAUUAUACGAGUUUACAGUGAUGCCUUUUGGACUAACGAACGCCCCCGCAUAUUUCGUCCACCUCAUGAACAAAGUGUUCAUGAAAUUCAUGGACAAAUUCGUUGUGGUAUUUAUUGACGAUAUCUUGGUUUACUCAAGGACACCAGAAGAGCAUGCUGAGCACCUCAGAAUUGUUUUGGGAGAACUAAGGAAACAUCAGUUGUACGCCAAAUUUAGCAAGUGCGAAUUUUGGCUAAGACAAGUUGGUUUCUUAGGCCAUAUAUUGAACCAAGAAGGCGUGGCCGUAGACCGAGAAAAAGUCAAAGCCAUACUUGACUGGAAGCCGCCCGCCAACGUUACAGAUGUGCGGAGUUUCCUAGGAAUGGCCGGAUAUUACAGAAGGUUUAUUGAAGGAUUCUCCACUGUGGCAAAACCUAUAACACAGUUGCUCAAGAAAGACAAGAAAUUUGUAUGGACGGAAGCAUGCGAGAAAAGCUUCCAAGAACUCAAGAAGAAGCUGACAACCGCACCGGUCUUAACUGUGCCAGACAUACACAAGAGUUUUGAAGUAUAUUGUGACGCGUCCCGAAAAGGUCUCGGAUGUGUACUAAUGCAGGAUGGCAAAGUUGUCGCAUAUGCCUCCAGGCAGCUGCGAAAACAUGAGGAAAAUUACCCAACACAUGACUUGGAGCUAGCAGCAGUUAUUCAUGCACUCAAGGAGUGGAGGCACUUUCUGCUGGGAAAUCGCUGUGAAAUAUAUACGGACCACAAGAGCCUCAAAUAUAUUUUCACACAGCCCGAGCUAAAUUUACGCCAACGACGCUGGUUGGAACUGGUCAAGGACUAUGAUGUCGGUAUUCACUACCAUCCAGGGAAAGCAAAUGUAGUGGCCGAUGCCCUUAGUCGAAACCCCAGCCCGGACAAUGACGGUCCGCAAAACUUGAGGCCUGAGUUUCAGCAAGAGUUCGCUAGGCUCAACAUGAUGUUAGUCUCUGAGAGCACCGUAUCGAAUCUAGAGAUACAACCCACCCUGGUGGAACAAAUUAAGAAAGCUCAACAGGGACAUCCUAGCAUCGAAGGUAUAAAGAAGAAAGUGGACCUUGGUAAGGCUUCAGAGUUCGUCACAGACAGUGAAGGGACAUUAUGGUAUGGAGACAGACUUUGCGUACCUAACAUUGAGGAACUCAAGCAACAAAUCUUAACCGAAAGCCACACCGCUCCAUACUCGAUCCAUCCUGGAGGAACCAAAAUGUACAAGGACAUUCAGGAAAGAUUUUGGUGGCACGGUAUGAAAAGAGAUAUAGCCGCAUUUAUUGCUUGUCGCGAUUCAUGUCAGCGCAUCAAGGCCGAGCAUCAAAAGCCAGCAGGGCUACUCCAGCCAAACAGGAUACCGGAGUGGAAAUGGGAUGAAAUAGGAAUGGACUUCAUUGUCGGAUUACCCCGAUCACAACGCGGAAAUGACGCCAUAUGGGUCAUCACAGACCGACUAACCAAGGUUGCUCAUUUCAUUCCCGUGAAGACUACCUACUCCACACAAAGACUGGCCAAACUUUAUCUCUCCCGUAUAGUUUGUUUGCAUGGAGUCCCAAAGGCUAUAAUAUCCGACCGAGGCACUCAAUUCGUCUCCAAAUUUUGGGAUCACCUACAGCAAGCUCCGGGCAUACAACUAGCUUUCAGCACAGCAUACCACCCUCAGACUGAUGGACAAACAGAACGUGUAAACCAAAUCCUAGAGGAUAUGCUAAGAGCCUGUGUGCUCACCUAUGGAUCCAGUUGGGAAGAGAGUCUACCGUAUGCCGAAUUUGCUUACAACAAUAGUUACCAAGCCAGCUUGCAAAUGGCACCCUUUGAAGCAUUGUACGGAAGGAGGUGUCGUACCCCACUGAAUUGGUCAGAAACAGGUGACAGCCGUAUCUUCGGCCCAGACAUGCUUAAAGAGGCCGAGGAGAAAGUUAAACAGAUCAGGGAUAGACUGAAGACAGCGCAGAGCCGACAAAAGAGCUACUAUGAUCAGAAGCAUCGUGAGGUCAGCUUUGAACCCGGUGAUUCCGUAUACCUCCGAGUAUCUCCUAUGAGGGGUCUGCAACGGUUCAAAAUUAAGGGGAAGCUAGCCCCAAGAUUUAUUGGACCAUUUUGUGUAAAGGCACGAAGAGGCACGGUAGCCUACCAACUAGACCUACCCAAGGAGCUAUCAGACGUCCAUGACGUAUUUCACGUCUCUCAACUGAGAAAAUGUGUGAGUAACCCGGAGAAGCAUGUACCCCAUGAAGGCAUUGAUGUGCAACCAGACCUCACCUACAGAGAGAGGCCAGUAAAGAUUUUAGAAGAGUCUGAACGGAGGACCCGUCAGAAAACGACAAAGUUUUUCAGAGUUCAGUGGAGCAACCACACUGAGGAUGAAGCCACAUGGGAAAGGGAAGAUUUUCUCCAGGCAGAAUAUCCAUAUCUAUUUGAGGAUCAGCAGAAAUCUCGAGGAUGAGAUUUUUCCUAAGGGGGUAGGUGUUGUGACACCCAAAUUUUUAUUUGGAUUUUUCAAAAGAUUUUAUUUGACUUGAGGGAGGUGAUUUAAAAAUUUUCUUCAAAAUAACACUCCCUUUCAAAUAUAUUUUUUCUUCUUUAUGGCAAAGGUUUUAUUUGGAUUCACCCAAGAUCUGUCUUUGGUCUUGGAGGUUCUUGCUUUUUAUUUGGAUUCAAGACAAAAUGUUUUUCAUUUGGGGAAAAUGACUUUUGAAAAUCUUUUUGAAAAUGCACUAUGGCUUUUGGAAUAAUCCUUUGCCACUUUCAACAUUUCUCUCUUGCCAUGGCCUUAGUGCAAAUCCACUCUCCUAACCCUCCCCUCAUCUUUGGAUCAUGUUUUGCAUCAAAUCCAGCAAGUUGAACCUCCCCCUAUGAUUAUUUUCCAUUUAAAUUUCAUCAAAUAAAUUUCUGUCUUCUACCCUAGCCCUUGGAGAUUUACAAAGGAGCUACCAUCUCUGCUUUGAUUUUUGGCCCCAAACCAAUUCCCCUUCCUAGUCCUUUGAACCCUCAACCAAGAUCCAUGAAGAUCCACUGGUCUUCAGUUCAAAUUUUUCAAACUACACUUGCUGCAAGUUUGGACCAGAUUUGUCAAAUUUGGUGAAAUUCAUUCAAAUCCCUCUCCAAAAAUUCCAAGUAUAAUCAGGCAGCCUCUGGGUGCAUUGAGUGGUCACCUCACCAAGUACCAGCUCCAGAAAAAAAUUUCUGCUUGCCAAAUCAUUCUGUCGAACACCUGCAGUGCAUUGUCAAUAUCAGGUUCAGUAAAGUUCAGAGAACAUUUCAGUGCGCUGUCGUUUUCUUCAGAGCCCGACGUCGAUCUCGCCAGUGCCACUGUGUCGCCGUGUUCCCUGUCCCCUCCCCCUUGUCCUCUGCACCGCACGAGCAUCUGGCACCUUGCGGACGUCGGCGAAAAGCCGCCGCUUGCGUCGGUCACGGGGCGGCGCUGACGGCGCCACCCAGCGCCGCCCAAGCCAUCGGAGCUCGCCGCGUGGCCUUCCACUCCCCAGAACGCGCUGCCACUCUCGUCGUGAACCGCAGGGCGCAGAGCGCGCUCUCUGCCGCCGACGUGCCCGUGCGGCCACUCCACCGUGGACCGGCGCCAUAACGCCAAGACCAACCGAGAUUUGCGGGGGAACGGCACCAGUAACCUCCACUGAUGCUGCCUGGCCACUCAAACCUCCUGCCAAUCCACUGCAUCGCCGUAAUUGCUCGCCGAAGAUUCUCCGUUCACGGCCACCCCGUCGAUCCGCCUAUAAAUAGAGGCCCCGAGCUUCAAUUUGAACCCACACCAUCCCUGCACUCCACCUAGAGCACGCCUAGCCACUGGAAGAGCCCCGAGGAGGUCUCCUUCCUCGACUCCGGCCGCCGCGACCCGCCACGGGAUCCAGCUCGAUUCGCCCCCGUGCGUGCGCCUCUGCCUCCCAUCUCUUGCCAGUAGCUUCACUAUGCAUCCCUCCUUCUGACCCGCGCUUCAAUUCGAAGUUUGCAGCCCUCCACCGGAGUUCUCCACCAUCACCCGAGCCGCCGUCCGCCGGAGAAAGUGUCGCCGUCGACGUGGUGCUCCCCGUUAGUCGAGUCCACCACCCACCGACGCGGAAGAACACGCUGAAGCUCUUGGUACCCUCCGAUCUUCCUGACUCGCCGUGGUUCGACGCCGGCGUCCACCGCAGUCUUCGGGCGCCGGCGAGCUUUUUGAACCUGACAUGUGGACCCCCCAUGUCAGCCUCUGUUCUAAUCUCCCUCGAGCCGUUUUCUAUUGGCGCCUUCGGGCAAAAUACGCUUUCCCUCUUUAGCUAGCGCAUUUCUUUCAGAAGCGUUUUCUGGUUUCUCAGUUUAAACCCUGGAACUUUUCUGUUUCAUUACAGAUAGGUCCCUGGACAGAAACCUUUAUAACUUUUUAAUAAAAAGGAAUUUUUGAGUGAUUCUUUUUCUGACCUUCUUAAAAUUUUGUCGAGUUUUUUAUGGGAUUUAUUUGGAAAAUUGUUGGAGAAGUUUCUGUGCACGCGUUGAUUUUCACGUUAGUGCCCGUUUCCGUUAUUGCCGUAGGUUCCGGAAGAGGUGACGGAGCCGCGAACUUCGCCGAGCUAGACUCUGACUUCUCCGAACCAGGCAAGCAUGUUUGAACCUUUGAUAUGAUAGGUGUUUUGCAUGUUUGCAUGACAGUUGGAGCGUGGCAUAUGAGUGUCAGUGAGUACCUCGUUGCUUGUGAGGCAACUACCCGCAUGUUCCAAAGUUGCGAUGAUCUCUGAUGAGAGAUGGCCUAAUCAUGUGGUGACAUGAAGGGCAGCAAGGUGGUACUGUUGUAGCAUACCAGCCUUGCGUCAUCCGACGAAUUCCGACGUUAACGUGGACGGAGUCACGUUAUCGUUCUUUUCCCCUCCGUGCUGCCACAUGUUUCAUUUGCCAGGAUGCGGUUUAGUAAGUUUGUAACCUCUUUUCAUGUACACACCAAACAGAGGGGCCGGGAUGAUGGUACCUUGGCCCAGGAUUAAAGCCAGUCAUCCGGUCAGGGGGCAUGGGUGUUUCCGGUUGGGACCGAGAGGGGGGGCACCCCCUUAGAGCGCGCGUAUAGAAAUUUGAUCCCAUGCUACGCGAGGUUGUAGCCUCCCCGUCUCAAGGUUUUUCUUGAACGUUGCCAAGGGUGAUCCCUGGCUUCGUAAUAUUGAAAUGGGUGUGUACUGGUUAGACGUGUUUCUUCCAAAACACCGUAAACGGAACUAGUCCCCGUGACUACGGAAAUCCGUUGGCUGUGGUUAAGUACAAACUCUGCAGAGUCAAAUUCUUCCAAGUCAUCGUGUCCAUGAUCAAGUAGGGUAAUCAGUAUAUCCAUAUCUAUCCUCGUGGAAAACUUGUCUCCGGUGAACAAGCUCAAGUGGUAAACCCGGUUAAAUUAUUAUUACUAUGGAUGGACUAACCUUUUAUUUGUCUCGUACUUGUAAUAAUUUAUGAUCUCGAGCUACUGCAUUAUUGAGCUACAAUAUAAGCCCUUUAUGUGACGUCGCUCAGACGUCCGACUGUGGCAUGUGUUUGUUCUUACUUUAAAUAUAAGCCCUUUUUGCAACGUCGCGCAGACGUCCGACUAUUGCGUGUCUUUGUUUCUCACUUUAAAUAUAAGCCAUUUAUGUGAUGUCGCUCAGACGUCCGACUGUGGCACGCACUGCCUUUAUUUUCUGAUAUAAGCCCUUUAUGUGGUGUCGCCCCGACGCCCGACUGUGGCAUUAAUAUUCUGCAGUUUCCUCUCGAGGAGUCAUUCAGACACUCGUUUGGCACCAGUAUUACCAUUCUUGCAGUUUCCUCUCGAGGAGUCAUUCAGACACUCGUUUGGCACCAGUACUACUAUUCUUGCAGUUUCCGCUCGAGGAGUUAUUCAGACCCUCGUUUGGCACCCAACAUUUAUUAUCUCUAUGUCUGAACGCACUGGUUAACUUGUUUAUAUGCUUCAUGUUUACAUUUGUUAUAUCUUAUGUCCGAACUGUCUUGCGAGUACUUUCAUAGUACUCACCUGGCUUGUUGAUUUGGCCAGAUGUUGACGAAGGCGAUCUUUUGGAUGAAGAGUUUGAUAGCGCGUCCGACGCCUAGAGGAGUCCCAGUCAGUCCUGCGCGAUCCCGGAUAUUGGUCACUUGUAUUAUAUACGCUUCCGCCACCCGCAAUAAGUCUCCUCGAGCCUCGCUUCGACGCUCGAAGAGCUGUAGUCUUCAGGAGUCAUAUCACUCGCUUCGCGGUGAUAUUUUCACCACGUUAUUAUCGUGAGUUAGUAGUUAUGCCACCCUAUCCGCCGUCUUGUUUUAUUGGCGUGCAUGUAAUAGAUUGUUGAGCAGUCUCCGCUCAACCUUGUAUUAUAUUCAGUACUCCUGGUAAUUUUCUUCUGUGACCAAGAUAUUGUCUACCAGUGGGAAGGGAUUCUUCCUUCUGGUCGGUAAAAGGGAUUGGUCUCUCAAUAAUUAUUUUAUUGAAAAACCGGUCGUGACACCAUAGGGUCUAUUAUGUAUGCCAUGCUGUCUGCCAGACCUGAUGUAAACCUUGCCGUAAGUUUGGUAGGAAGGUACCAAAGUAAUCCCUGCAUGGAACACUAGACAGCGGUCAAGAAUAUCCUGAAGUACCUGAAGAGGACUAAGGAUAUGUUUCUCGUUUAUGGAGGUGACGAAGAGCUCGUCGUAAAGGGUUACGUCGAUGCUAACUUCGACACAGAUCUGGAUGACUCGAAGUCACAAACCGGAUACGUGUAUAUUUUGAAUGGAGGGGCAGUAAGCUGGUGCAGUUGCAAGCAAAGCGUCGUGGCGGGAUCUACAUGUGAAGCGGAGUACAUGGCAGCCUCAGAGGCAGCGCAAGAAGCAAUCUGGAUGAAGGAGUUCAUUACCGACCUAGGGGUGAUUCCCAAUGCGUCGGGCCCGAUGACUCUCUUCUGUGACAACAUUGGAGCUAUUGCCCUUGCCAAGGAGCCCAUGUUUCACAGGAAGACCAGUCAUAUCAAGCGUCGCUUCAACUCCAUUCGUGAAAGUGUUCAAAAUGGAGACAUAGAUAUUUGUAAAGUACAUACGGACCUGAAUGUAGCAGAUCCGUUGACUAAACCUCUCCCUAGAGCAAAACAUGAUCAACACCAGAACGCUAUGGGUGUUCGAUUCAUCACAAUGUAACUAGAUUAUUGACUCUAGUGCAAGUGGGAGACUGUUGGAAAUAUGCCCUAGAGGCAAUAAUAAAUGGUUAUUAUUAUAUUUCCUUGUUCAUGAUAAUUGUCUAUUGUUCAUGCUAUAAUUGUGUUAUCCGGAAAUCGUAAUACAUGUGUGAAUACAUAGACCACAACAUGUACCUAGUAAGCCUCUAGUACACUAGCUCGUUGAUCAACAGAUAGUCAUGGUUUCCUGACUAUGGACAUUGGAUGUCAUUGAUAACGAGAUCACAUCAUUAGGAGAAUGAUGUGAUGGACAAGACCCAAUCCUAAGCAUAGCACAAAAGAUCGUGUAGUUCGUUUGCUAGAGCUUUUCCAAUGUCAAGUAUCAUUUCCUUAGACCAUGAGAUCGUGUAACUCCCGGAUGCCGUAGGAGUGCUUUGGGUGUACCAAACGUCACAACAUAACUGGGUGACUAUAAAGGUACACUACGGGUAUCUCUGAAAGUGUCUGUUGGGUUGACACGGAUCGAGACUGGGAUUUGUCACUCCGUAUGACAGAGAGGUAUCUCUGGGCCCACUCGGUAAUGCAUCAUCAUAAUGAGCUCAGGGUGACUAAGGAGUUAGCCACGGGAUCAUGCAUUACGGUAUGAGUAAAGAGACUUGCCGGUAACGAGAUUGAACAAGGUAUUGGGAUACCGACGAUCGAAUCUCGGGCAAGUAACGUACCGAUUGACAAAGGGAAUUGUAUACGGGAUUGAUUGAAUCCUCGACAUCGUGGUUCAUCCGAUGAGAUCAUUGUGGAACAUGUGGGAGCCAACAUGGGUAUCCAGAUCCCGCUGUUGGUUAUUGACCGGAGAGGCGUCUCGAUCAUGUCUGCAUGUCUCCCGAACCCGUAGGGUCUACACACUUAAGGUUCGGUGACGCUAGGGUUGUAGAGAUAUUAGUAUGCGGAAACCCGAAAGUUGUUCGGAGUCCCGGAUGAGAUCCCGGACGUCACGAGGAGUUCCGGAAUGGUCCGGAGGUGAAGAAUUAUAUAUAGGAAGUCCAGUUUCGGCCACCGGGAAAGUUUCGGGGGUUAUCGGUAUUGUACCGGGACCACCGGAAGGGUCUCGGGGGUCCACCGGGUGGGGCCACCUAUCCCGGAGGGCCCCAUGGGCUGAAGUGGGAAGGGAACCAGCCCUUAGUGGGCUGGGGCGCCCCCCUUGGGCCUCCCCCUGCGCCUAGGGUUGGAAACCCUAGGGGUGGGGGCGCCCCACUUGCCUUGGGGGGCAAGCCCCCCCCCUUGGCCGCCGCCCCCCCUCAGAUGGGAUCUCCAGGGUGGCCGGCGCCCCCCCAGGACCCCUAUAAAUAGUGGGGGAGAGGGAGGGCAGCAACAACACAGCCCCUGGCGCCUCCCUCUCCCCCUGCAACACCUCUCCCUCCCGCUUGUGCUUGGCGAAGCCCUGCCGGGAUCCCCGCUACUUCCACCACCACGCCGUCGUGCUGCUGGAUCUCCAUCAACCUCUCCUUCCCCCUUGCUGGAUCAAGAAGGAGGAGACGUCGCUGCUCCGUACGUGUGUUGAAGACGGAGGUGCCGUCCGUUCGGCACUCGGUCAUCGGUGAUUUGGAUCACGUCGAGUACGACUCCAUCAACCUCGUUCACUUGAACGCUUCCGCUCGCGAUCUACAAGGGUAUGUAGAUGCACUCCUUUCCCCUCGUUGCUAGUAUACUCCAUAGAUGGAUCUUGGUGAUGCGUAGGAAAUUUUAAAAUUCUGCUACGAUCCCCAACAAACGAGUCACCUUGUCGCAAUCCCUUCUUCGUUUGGAAAUAGUGUCCAACGUCACCAUUGACCUUAAUGGCAACACUACCCCCAUAAGCGAUGCUAUGGAUCAUAGCGCGCCACACUGCAAAAAAUCCUUUUAUUCUUAGAGUCUGUUGAAGAAAGGGCCACUUGACUUUGUCAUAAGCCUUUUCAAAGUCUAUUUUGAGUACCACCCCAUUCAACUUUUUUCGGUGUAACUCAUGGACUGUUUCAUGAAGGAUAACAACUCCAUCUAGGAUGUGUCUGCCUUGCAUAAAAUUUGUUUGUGAAGACGAACCACAUGUUCAGCAACCAAAUUUAGCCUAAUAAUUGCAACCUUCAUGAAUAUUUUCAAACUAACAUUAGGGAGGCAAAUAGGUCUGUAUUGUUGUAUCCUUUCAGCCUCAUUAACCUUAGGUAAUAAAAUAAUCUCACCGAAGUUUAAGCGACGCAAUUCUAGUUGGCCAGCAUGAAGAUCGCUAAACAAAAGUAGGAGAUCCAGUUUGAUGACUUCUUAGAAGUUCUGAUAUAACUCUACAGAAAAACCAUCCGGACCCGAGGCUUUGUUAUGCUCCAUUAGGAAAACCACCUUUCUAACUUCCUCCUCAGAGUAUGGGGUUGUUAGAAGGUUGUUUUCCUCAUCAAAGACCUGUGGGAUGUCAUAUGUUCGGGAUUCAUCCAUCGAGAAGUUUCCUUCCUCUGUUGCUCCUAACAGAUUUUUGUGAUAAUUAGUGAUGUAAGAUUUAAGUUGCUCAUGCCCCUCGAUCAUCCCCUCAUCCGGUUGCAGGGAAUGAAUAAUUUUCUUUCGGUGUCUGCCAUUGCUGACUUCAUGGAAAUAUCUAGUAUUUGAAUCACCUUUUAGGAUAAACUGAGAGUUAGAAUGUUGGUACCAUUUGAGUUCCUAUUCACAUAGCAUGCUAGCUAUCUGUGCAUUCGAAUGAUUCUUGAUCUCGAUUUCAUGCUCAGGUAGAGGUCUAACCUCUGCCAAAGCUUCUAAUUCAUCAAUGAUAGAUGAAAGACGAUGCUUAUCAUUUUCUAGGAUACCCACCGUAUGCCCAGCUCAUCCACCAAGGAAUUUACGUAAUGCAUGCAUUUUGUUAUUUCAUCUAUCUAUUGGGGUAGGCCCGACCACCGGUUUCACCCACACCUCCUUGACCAUGUCAUGGAAGCCAUCCUGAAGCAACCACCCAAGUUCGAACUUGAACUUGCAUCUAUGUUGUGGUCGUAGCAAAGCAGUAGUUAGGAGAAUGGGUGUGUGGUCUGAUGCCUCGAUACGAGGUAGAGCACGAACAGACACCAUAGGAAAUUUAGAUUUUUAGUCGGUAUCCAUUAAAAGUGAUCUACUUUCUCAUAUGUCGGUUCCAGAAGACUGUUUGCCCAAGUGAAUUGUCUAAGUGAAUUGUCUUCCAAUCAUGGAAACCUCUCACGGAUCUAGACUGUCGAUGACAACUUGGAAAGGAAAGGCCAAUGAUUUAUCAAAUCUACCACUGCUUUUCUCAUUUGGAAACCUAUAAGAAUGGGAUAGGGAUUAUCUUUCGGCAAAUUAAGAUCCAUUGGAGACAUACCUCCACAUGCCCAUCAAUGAUGCCAGUAGGACGGGGGGCAGGCAGGAAGAACCUUAUUCCAUCUUCAGGGAACUGCCGCCGUCUCGUCUUACAGGACACAAACCCUAACAUAACUCUGAAGAAACCUAUAAAAUCGGAGCCAUCCCGCCGGCAAGGGUCGGGAUCUGUCGCGCCCCCAUGACCCUAAGGCCACCGGAGACAAGGUGGACCGGCGGCGGCGUCGGCGGGAUAUAGAGGAGCCCUAGUCUCUUUUUUUGGGAGGAGGCAGCGGCUGUGCGUUGUCAAUCGUUGUUGCAACUUGUGGGAAAGUGAGAAGAAAGACUAUACGAUGCGCAUCAUGAAUCAGAUGGCUCGUGGGCCGGCUGGCUUUUAGAAAGACCUAGCACGCCCCUCCUUUUUGAAAAUCGCUAUGGAACCAAAAGCAAAUUGAGAUUCUCCUUUAUAUACAAAAUUAUCUAAUCAAAUUGAGAUGAGAUUUACUUAAAAGUAUUCCAUCUAUCCCCCUUUUCUCUUUUUGAAACAGAUGCCCUGGUAGACCGGGUGCAUGGUCCUGGCUCGAUUAACAACCCACAAAUCGUAGAGAGCAUUGAUUCCCGCGUACACCGGAUCCAGCAACCUCCUCUCCAGCGGCGGCCCACCGGUCAUGGUCUCUGCCCACAGAAACCAACCUGGCCAACGCUGGCGCCGACGGGUGGCCAGCCCACACGUGCGAAGCCCGGCCCCCGCACGUCAGCCUCCUCCCCUCCAACCACGUCCGCCAGGCCACCCCGAGCCGUCCAUCACGACCCCCGGCACGCCACCGGCCGUCCGAUGCGCCCCGGGGUUGUUCCACGCCCUCCCUCCGCUCCUCGUAUGCCCCGCCCGCCGCCGCCUAUAUAAGCCCCGCCUCCUCCCCCACCCCGAGCAGAUAAGAUCGAUCGAUCGCGGAGCGAGAGAGAGAGAAAAAAAAUCUUCUCGUCGGUAGGGUUUCGGGGGCUGCGAUGGCGAUGGAGGCGCGGAUGAAGGGGACGGUCAAGUGGUUCAACGACACCAAGGGGUUCGGCUUCAUCUCCCCCGACGACGGCAGCGAGGACCUCUUCGUGCACCAGUCCUCCAUCAAGGCCGACGGCUUCCGCUCGCUGGCCGAGGGCGAGGUGGUCGAGUUCGCCGUCUCGGAGGGCGACGACGGCCGCACCAAGGCCGUCGACGUCACCGGCCCCGACGGAUCCUUCGUGCAGGGCGGCGCGGGCGGCGGCGGGGGCGGCUUCGGAUCCCGCGGCGGCGGCGGAUCUCGCGGCGGCGGGGGCUUCGGCGGCCGCGGCGGGGACGGAUCUGGCGGGUACGGAGGUGGGUAUGGCGGUGGUGGCAGCGGCGGCUGGGGCGGCCAGAGGAGAUCCGGCGGUGGAGGCGCCGGUGGGGCCUGCUUCAAGUGCGGGGAGCCUGGCCACAUGGCCAGGGACUGCUCGGUCAACGGCCCCGCUGGUGGCGGCGGCGGCGGCGGCUGCUACAAGUGCGGCGAGCAAGGCCACAUCGCCAGGGACUGCUUCAACGGCGGCGCCGGCGGAGGAGGCGGCGGCUACGGCGGCGGCGGCGGCGGUAACUGCUACAGCUGCGGCGAGCCGGGCCACAUCGCGAGGGACUGCCCCACCAGCAGCGGCUUUGGCGGGGGCGGCGGCGGGAGGUUCGGCGGAGGAGGCGGCGGCGGCGGCGACCGCACCUGCUACCACUGCGGCGAGACCGGCCACAUCUCCCGCGACUGCACCAAGUGAGGGGAUAUCUCUGCCCCUCCCCCUCUAUAGAUUGCGCCUAAAUACCUCUCGUCUUAGUUUUGCCGAUCGAUCGAUCUGGGCCUGAGCGCCCAGCCGCAGCCGCCUCGCUUAUUUUAUCUUCCUCCCCCCUUCCGUUCUCGGAAUCCGUCCUAGGGGAAAGUCAGUCAGUCAGUCAGUCCGUGUGAUGGUUAAUUUUGCUAUGAAUUGGUCCUCUGGUACCCGUACCCGUACUCUCAGUUGAUGUCUAAGGUCGUGAUGAUGAUGGAUUAUUGGUGAUUUUUGUGUGGUGAUGAUGAGGAGAUUGCAACACAUCUCUGUUUUUUGGUUUCAUCGAUGAAGUAAAAGAUGCCGGUCGUUAUUAUCAUCCUCCAUGAGUGAAUGAAUGAAUUCUCUCUUGUCAGAUCAGAUCUCUGCUCUAGUGGUAGAACUAUUACCUCUGUCUGACAUCCUGUUUGUUAAUUGAUUAUGAUUAUGUUAAAGUAGAGUUUGGAAGGCGAUUAACUAGUGCUGGUACUUUCAUCUGCUGAGGUUUUUGCGUGGGGAAAGUGAGGUUUUGUCUGGGCUGCGUAGUGGAGGGGAAAGUUUUUACUGGAUUUGCGAUCGACCCUUUUAAUCCGGGGAAAGCGUCAAUCUGGGGUAAGCAAUGGUGUCAGUUCCCCAACCAUGGGGUGUCAUGCCCUGUCUGGUGCUGUUUUUGGAUCCACUUUCCUGUCAGUGUCUAGUGGUUGCGUUGUAUUUAAGCUUGCACUGUGUCUGGCUCUGCUCAUGAUUUUUUUGGCGUGCUGGUCCAUAUACAUCUCCAGCACAAUACAGAAGUUGUUUUACAUCUUUGUUCUGGGAUUUAUUUCUGGAUUGCUGUUGUGAUAGGUCUGUAACACCGAGUUUUUCUGCCGUUAGACACUGAAUUUCAAUCCCCACCUGUGCCUUUUGUGCUUAAUCACUUGAAUUAUAGUCUGGGACGGCAUAGCAUUACUGUUGCGUCUUGGUGGGGCGUGUAGAUGAGGAUAGGAUAGAGCGUUGGCCGAUGGGACGGAAGGAAAGGCAGAGCACACUGGCCGUCUGGCCGGCUGCAGUGUGUUUAAUCCGGUAGCUGUGUACUAGCUGUAUGUUUUCUCAGGAGUGCUACUGGUAUAAUUUUAUUGAUUUAUGUGUGGUGUAUAUGGACGUUGGCUAUUUUUAGCGCAACGAGACGGCCCGUGACCUGUGUGUCGGCCCCGCAGAGGCAUGCGCCGAAGGGUCGCCGUCAGGUGUCAAUCCGAUCUGGUGCGCGCUCUCGUGCUCCAGUUUUUACUGGCCGGUCAAUGCCGCUAGUCUGCCGGAGGGCACUGUGUCGCAUGCCUGUGUCAGUGUCCUCCGCCUGCCUUGUCUAUCCGAAUCCUGUGCUUGCUUUGGCCGUCGUCCAGAUGGCGCGCCAGCGGCCCUCGACCGUACGUUCGCGCGCAUGGGAGAGAGAAAGAGAACGACCCCUGCUGCACAUGCUCUAGCUGCUUGUGCUGUCCUCCAUCACCAGCGCGCCACGCCAAAAGAUAGGAGAAGAUAAUCAUUAUCAUAGCUUAUUAGACCCAUGGUGGUAAUCAUGGAGUAUCUUGCUAAUCUUAGCUUAAAAGCUUGCCGUGUGGCCGCCAGGUCCCAGUGCCAGCAAGAGAGAUCUGCUCUAGAAUGGCUUAAAAACUGUUGGAGAAGCUCGCCUUUUUCGUUUUGUUUUAUUUAUACGUGUUGCCUAGGCGAGAUGUAGAUGAUGCGCGCCGUCCAAGGUGUGGACGGUGCGGGCGAUGGAUAGGUACCACGGGCAUUAUUUGUCUGGAUGAUAUGAUGCGGAGGGGUUGGGGCAUCGUAUCCUGUUGCGCGCUUUUUGAUUUUUCGAGCAUAUGUGCCGAUCGAGGGGCUGGAUUAUAUUCUCCCUGUAGAUUUUUUUUCCCUGUAGAUGCGUUGAUUGAUCGCAGCAAGAUAUUUGGGCCUCCAUUGAUGGCCGGUGCUGGUGCCCGUGCCGGUGAGCUACCGAGGGAAGCGGGUGGGGAUGGACAGACGGACGGCGAGUGAGCGAGGAAACUCCUUGGGUGUCUGACCGAGUUUCCUCUUGAUCAUGAGGUUUCCAAUCCCAAACAUUUCAAAAUUGUUGCACGUGUAGAUGUGGGUAUGGGGGUUUCAGAAUUGGUCGCCAGCACAAAGGAGGACGAUCUGAACCAACAAUCACAAGGCGCUCGCCGGUUGAUCUUGUGCAACAAGGGUUCCAUAUGAUCAAUUGUCUGAGCAAAAGAUCACAUUUCUAUGUUUAAAAAAUGGGUGUGCCCUAAUUAUUGCACAUCUAAGUGACCCGUUCAAACAUAAUAAGGAAAAAAAAUACCCAUAUGAUCAAUUGUCUGAGUUUUGCAAUACUUAUGUCACAUCUAGAUGUACUUUAGCAAAACUGUUAAAAAAUAAUGGAAAGGUAAUCUAGGUAGUAGGUGCAAGCUUAACUUCGUAUGUUUUCAUAAAAAUGUGCGGCCUUGUGCGAAAAUCACAAAACGUACUUCUGCAACACAAGUUUAUGCGACUUGUAUUGAUAGCUUGUCACAUAGGAUUAUUCCUUUUUAGAACAAGUCAUAAUUACAUUUUUUGAAGGUAGGGAUUGCUCAAGGCAUGGUUUUCGAGACUUCAAAUUAUGAUUUUCGUGAUUACAAAAACACGUUUACCAGCCCUUUGGUCAUGAGCUGGGUUGGAGACGAAUCUAUAUUCUUAGAAGCAAAGAAACAACUUUGACAUCCCAAAACUUGAUUUUGUCUCAAAGAAUGAAUAAAAUCCCUUUAUGAUAAGCCUCCUACUAGAUUGGAAGUGAGAAGUUCCUCAUUCACGGUAUGCUUGUUUUUUUCUUCUUGAUUUGGUUGCUACUCCUUAUGAGCGUACACUAAAAGGAUGCACACAAGGACUCACAAACUAAAAGGGAACCCGUAAUACCCAGAUUCUGAAAAUCUGCCAUCGGAACGGUUUGAUGCAAAGGAGCAGAUAAGUCACAUAUAUAUGGCUAAAUAUCGAAUCCUGGCUAAGGACCUUACUUGUAUGAGUAAUAAAGAUUAUAAACUUCUUGCAAUCUUUGCAUAACUUGAUCCAAACAAGUCCUGACGGGCAAACAACUUGUUAGCCUCUCCAAUUCCCCACAAGCACUGGUGCCGUGUCAUAGCUGCUUCAGAUCACCACUUGGGUAUAUAAAAGCAGCGGCUCCUAUAAAUUGGCGGCUGGGACAUAUAUAUGCGUAGGCAAAAGGCAGAAAAUCGAACAGUAGAUCAGUGGCAUCCAACCGAUAAGGAACACCUCUUGGCACAGUAGACACAAUAACCAGGUCACUAAAUCCAGCAUGAACCAGAAGUGCAACAAAAAUUGCAGGAUACGAUAAUACCAAGUCUAGCUACAUGGCCUAGGUCAUAACGUGUAUAUUGCCGAUUCUACCCCUCUUCCUCUCAGGGUAGAACUGCCAUAAUACGCAAAAAAAUGAAAGGGACGAAAACGUUGUGGUAGCGUAUGUGCUUUCAGCGUUGCAUUUCUGAAUAGUCAAAGACAUGGCAUAUCCACCAAUGGUCCACAUCUUCUCACCCUACUCGAAAAAGAAUCCUGUACAGAAAUGAAAAGCCAAUGUAAGAGUCUUGGUGUAUCAGCAGAAGUAAAAAAAAAGGUUCAGUUACUUGACAAUGAAAACCAAGAUACCGAGACAUGGUAUGGUAAGUAUGAAGGAGAACCGCUUUACCAUGUGCAACUUACCUUGACAUUAAUUUGGGGACAAACUUCCAUUACAUCUCAUACAGGUAUUUCUAGCUGAUAAUCUAAUGCAAAAAACAUCUAGCUAAACUGCCCCCAAAUGAAAAUGCAGAAAAAUGUCAUAAAAAAUUGAUGGCAAAGGAAAUGUGAAAUAAGCAAUCAUCACAGAUACUGCUAGAAUUGGUAUGUAUAGACUUAUAUUUUUGAAGAAAAUAUUAUGUGAAUCCUGGUAUCACAGAUGGCGAAUAAUUUAGUGCUGAAUCACAAGGAAACCGAGCACCGAAUAAUUUAUCCCAUAAGAACAAGGAGCUGCUCAGGUCUAGGGAGCCACAAAAAUUGUUACCGAUUAGCACAAACUAUAUAUUACUCCUAUUCAACAACACAAAGUGAAGGUACGCAUGAACAUACAUUUGAGCUUGAUCAGAGCCAAUCAAAAUGUGAAGGUACUGUAUUACUACUCUGAAUAAUCUAUUCAGAAAUUUGUGCUAGUGCCUACAAGACCAGAACUAAUCAACAAGCCCACAAGUUGCGUCUUUCUGUUUCUUUCUGCAACACAGUUAAAAUAAACAUCCUCUGCCAACAAAAUGGGUUGUUUUCCCUUUUGCGCUCAGAUUUCGAUGCCUCAAACAAUCUGCAAUCCUUGCAAACUGUUCUUUCUACAUACUAAUUCACAAAGUUUGUACUUCACUAUUUGCUUUGUUAGUUUCCAUUCCCACAUAUGGUUAAUACAAAGUUUCCUUCCCACACACGAAGAUUAAUUUUGGAAUAUAGCUAGAGAGCAUGGAAAGUGUCAUUAGUUUGCUCACGUAUGUUAAGCGCAGCACACAGUAACUUGAUAACUUUAUAAAUCCUCUCCUCGACCACAUCACACUUGACUUCAACUAUGUUAAGGUGCCGUGAUAUUGCAGACGGUCUCUCCAUUGAUUUGUAGCUUCCUUUCAAAUGCAGUUUAUUAUUUGGUCCGUACGGUAAGAAAAAAAAAACUUCUAAACCAAGAUGAUGACUGAUAAUAACUUUACUCAUGCAGCAACUAUCCAUUAUAAAGUUCUAUACCAUGGAAAAAAGUUGAAGAGUGAGUUUCUCCAGAACUGGUGAGUUUUUCAGAAUGCAAAGCAGUGGAUCCAAACCAGGAGCCUCGGACCAGUACUCGUUGAGUAGUAAACUCUUUAGCUUGCUGAAUGUAGGGCAGUGUUUCAAAUCUCUUGCGAAAAUGAACUGGAAAGAAAAUACAAAAGUAAGUAAAUCAAGUAAACCUUACUGAAAAUGCAAGAUGAUGAUCUAAUGCCGAAUUAAAGCCAUACCUUUCUAGGUUGAGAUCUCAGCUCAAGAUGUUUACACUACUGGAAUACUGGGCUACGCCGAGUGCCCCAGACACUCAGCAAAGGGCCGAAAACCGCCAGCAAAGCCUUUGCCGAGUGUCACCCUCGGCGAAAGCCACCCGGCAUACACCUUUUCGGCAAACAGGAUUUUGCCGAGAGCCAGAACACGGGCACUCGGCAAAGACUUUGCCGAGAGCCAAACAGUACCACUCGGAAAAAUAAAGUAGCUAACGGAUAGCAGACGGUGCCAGCGGUUCCUGACACGUGGGACCAGGGGAACAGGCCGAGGGGCUUCUUUGCCGAGUGCCACUCUCGGCAAAGCCACCCAGUAGGUGGCUGACACGUGUCAGCUCCUGACAUGUGGGACCAGGCGAACAAGCCGAGGGCCAUCUUUGCCGAGAGACACUCUCGGCAAAGCCACCCAGUAGGUGGCUGACACGUGUCAGCUCUUGACAUGUGGGACCAGGCGAACAGGCCGAGGGCCAACUUUGCCGAGACCCACUCUCGGCAAAGCCACCCAGUAGGUGGCUGACACGUGUCAGCUCCUGACAUGUGGGACCAGGCGAACAGGCCGUGGGCCAUCUUUGCUGAGAGCCACUCUCGGCAAAGAGAGCCAGUAGGUGGCUGACACGUGUCAUCUCCUGACAUGUGGGACCAGGCGAACCGGCCGAGGGCCAACUUUGCCGAGAGCCACUCUCGGCAAAGAGAACAAACUAGGAGGCUGACACGUGUCACCUCCUGACAUGUGGGACCACGAGAGCAGGCCGAGGGCCAGCUUUGCCGAGAGCCACCCUCGGCAAUCCUUUUCCCUUUACCGAGAGCCCUCUCGGUAAAGUUGUCAGGGGCACCACAGGUUAUUAUCCUUUACCGAGAGGCCUCUCGGUAAAGGGUGCAUUCUGGUCCAGUUUCACAGUCAUUACCGAGAGCCACCCUCGGUAAUGGUGUGCCCAGGAGCCUUUUUUUCCUGUUUCUGUUUCUUUCCUGCAGCAAAACAUAUACAGCAGCAUAUAGUUCAUCACACAUAUAACAUGUCACAUAUAGGCAUCAUUGAACAAAAGAAGCAAUGAUUCUGAAAAGCAUUCCACAUAAAAAGCAAUAGUGCAUAAAAGGUGAAAUAAUAGUGAAGACAUUCGACUACCACAAGUUUACAAGUCUCAAGAUGCAAGAGUUCUCAACAUACAAGGAACAAUUUCAAACAUAACAUAACAUGAAGUUCACACGAUUUUGGAUAUCGGAGUGAUAACAUCAACAUUAGAAGGCAUCAUUCCGUUUGCUGCCCCAACUCCAUCAACCGGAGUGAUAACAUCAACAUUAGAAGGCAUCAUUCCCUUUGCUGCCCCAACUCCACCAACUUGAGGUGGAACUACCGGAACAUUGUUCGACCCUUGUGAUGGGUUGAGCUGUGAUGGAUUGACCCAAUAGUGAGAUGAAUGCAUAUGGUAAUGCCGAAAAUGGUGAUAGAAAUAGUUUGAACGAAACUCGCAAUGUUCCACUCUGGCGUCGGUGGCAUCUCUGGCACUGGUUGGCCUUGCAUGGAAUAAAGAUUGGCCACCAUAUGUUGUAAAUACUUCACUAGAUCAUCUUGUGCCUUCAGCGUGGCCCGGUUUUCAUCUCGUUCUUUCUCGGUGUCAAUCAGUCGAGUCUACAAUAUGGCAAUGCAAAUGUCAUUCAUGUUGAAAUGCAAAUACGCAGGACCAUGAAGGAUCAAUGAAGAAGCACUGACCUGAAUAUCCUCAAUAAUGCUCAUGGAAUGUGGCACGUGACGCUCUAUGGUAGGAGUAGAGCCAGUACUCAUAGCACGGAGCGUGUUGACUCUCGGAAGGGAGGAGGUUAUGACAGAAUCGAGGUGAACCGCCAUCCGGCCAUUCGGUCUACCGCCUGCCGCGGUAAUGGCCACAAGAGGGUCAAACGGUAGCACGUGAGGAUCAGCGUCAGGCCCGUACGUCUCCUUCAAUUUUUUGGUGUAGUUCUCUCCAUCUGACCGGGCUUUAGAGCUGAUCCAGUCCCUCUCCGGGUGGAGAGGGUCCUUGUCCUUGUCGUCUUUGGUACGUUUGAUGGUCCAUGCCUCAAAGUAAGUGAUAUCCUUGCCAGUGUCUUCUUUCUGCAUAAGAAAGCGAUCCAAACAAUCAAGGGAAUGCUCACAAAUGAAAGAGAACAUGAUGAAAAGGAUGUGGUUGCCUACAUGUUUUGAGACGACACCUGGGAUGGUGAGGUUGCCUUGACGGUGUCCUCGACCCCCCAUCAACUUACGCCGUUCAGAUAUUACUUUGUGUUCAUCCUGCCACCCUGGAUCUGUCCACCGUUCGACGAUCUUCUCCCAGCACGGACGUUUGUCAGCGCACCACCGAGGAAUCACCUGUAAAUUAAACAAAUACAUCUUAGUAAUGAUUCUAAUUUUGCGGUAAUGUAGGGAAUAGCAAGCAUCCAUCGUCACUUGCCUUGAAGUAAUUGUCCCAUGAAAGAUGCGUCCCUCGAGCCUCCUGUUUGGAAAUCCUAUGGUUGAGAUAGUCCGCGUGAUACUUGACCACUAACCGGACGCACUCCUCAUAGUGCAUGUCGUGGACUAGUUUCUUGGCAAUAUUCUCGACCACCACAUUUGCACGAUCCUUCUGACCCUCAACGCAUGUAUAGAAAUCCUACAAACAUGCAUACAUGUGAGAAGGGUUAAAUCAUGACUAUGGCAAAUUUAAACCUUUUGGUAUUGACAUUUAGGUGUUUGAAAGGACUUACCCAGAAAUCGUUGACCACUCGCAUGGCUCUGUUAUCAUAAACCCUUUGACGCAUAUCCAGGAAAUCCGGUGCAAGUUUGUAGUGAUCCCAUGACCAAGCUGGCUCAAUGAUACCGUUCGGCAAAGUGACCAGUCCAGGAUAAUUUAACCUACAAAGACCCCCAAUGAUGCCACUCGGCGACCGUGGCAGACGCCUCUCACCACCUUUUACUAAGCUUCUGCAUUUCUAAGAGUGAAGUCAUAUUAUAUGUGAGGAAAUGACAAAAGGUACAAUUUAUAUGGGAUGAAUCGAGAUAACCACUUACUUCUCUCCCAUUGGUUUAAUCAACACGUCUCUAUGCACAUAUGGACGUCUUGGAAGCUUUGAAGGACCACGCAGCCACACUUUCCCUCCGGAAGUAGUGCUGAUAGUCGAACCGCUCUGUUGCGAACCGCUCACCUCGUGGUGCUCUAUCACCUGUGAGGGUCCAUCCCCACCCUCAGAAACCUGACGAACAACCAGCCUCCUCUCGGCGGCGUCGUCCUCCACCACCUCCUCCUCCUCAUCCUCCACCACCUCCUCCGCAAAAUCCUCCUCGUCCUCCUCCUCACACACCUCAUCCCCAUCCUCUGGUUCCUCCUCCUGAGCACGGUGAAGCACUGCAUCAGAGGGUCGAGCAGAAGAAAGAGGUGCUCUACUCCGGGCUGCUUUACGUACUCCUCCUCCUGCCUCACAUACCCCCCCUCCUCGUCCACCUCCUCCUCCUGACUCANNNNNNNNNNNNNNNNNNNNNNNNNNNNNNNNNNNNNNNNNNNNNNNNNNNNNNNNNNNNNNNNNNNNNNNNNNNNNNNNNNNNNNNNNNNNNNNNNNNNNNNNNNNNNNNNNNNNNNNNNNNNNNNNNNNNNNNNNNNNNNNNNNNNNNNNNNNNNNNNNNNNNNNNNNNNNNNNNNNNNNNNNNNNNNNNNNNNNNNNNNNNNNNNNNNNNNNNNNNNNNNNNNNNNNNNNNCUACUCCCCCUCCUCGUCCACCUCCUCGUCCGCCUCCUCCUGCCUCACCUACUCCCCCUCCUCGUUCGCCUCCUACUCCUCCCCCGCGUGGUACUCGACCUUGUUUCGCACGUUUUGCCGGACGGGUGUCUAGACCCGCCAAUCCUUUGGCCUUCUUGGCGGUUGUGGCAACCGAUGAAGGAGCGACCACCGCUUUCACCGGUCGAGCAGGUUGAUCAUUGUACAGAUCAUUCACUUUUUUCAAACUUUCCUUUGGAAUCUUCUUGCUACCUGUCAUGUUUCAAUCACCUGAUAUGAAGAAGAACAAACCAGUUAGUACAGAUGAUACAACUUGAUGUAAAUACAAUAAAUAUAUCACAUAUGAAGAAUAAAUGGAAUUGUCACAAUAAUACAUAUAGUUGUUACACACACAAAU
Molecule: long non-coding RNA, 72059 nt
Filed under: Triticum aestivum (bread wheat)
Lineage: Eukaryota; Viridiplantae; Streptophyta; Magnoliopsida; Poales; Poaceae
Description: long non-coding RNA (TAES_LNC012938)
Source: RNAcentral